Molecule: long non-coding RNA, 66541 nt
Filed under: Medicago truncatula (barrel medic)
Lineage: Eukaryota; Viridiplantae; Streptophyta; Magnoliopsida; Fabales; Fabaceae
Description: long non-coding RNA (MTRU_LNC006237)
Rfam family: Plant small nucleolar RNA R71 (bases 3731-3837)
Source: RNAcentral
UUUGGAAACACUACGACUAAAGACACUUUAUUAGGCUCCCCCCACACUUAGUAGAAGCAUUGUCCUCAAUGAUUCAAGAUAGGAUAAAAAAAAGACGAAGGAGAAGGAUGAGAUAGAGAUUGAAGAGAUAAGGUGAAAAAGAGGAAGAGGAAAGCUCACAUUUUUAUUGAGGUCCAUAGGGAGGAACUUGGAGGUUGAAGUGUUGCAUCAUGUUCCGAAGCAUUUGAUUAUUUUCUUCGGAUAUGCGGUUGCCCCUUAGGACAUCAUUUCUUAGCCCGGAUAAUUCAACACCUUGCCUUUGUUGCUCGGUGCUUAUUCUUUGUACCUCGGUUUGCAUCCAUGCCAAUCUUUCAUUGUCGGUGUUAUGGUCAUGGGGCUCCUCUUCAUGGUGCAUGUGUGCACCUUCUUCGUCACCUUGAUUAUGCUCUUCAUGUACCUGUAAUCCAUCACCAACAUACAACAAAUUUUCCUCCACCUCGGGGUUAGUACGAGAUGGGUUAGGAAGUAGAAACAAAAGAGGUAUGCAAAGCUGAAGUGCAUAAGUCAUGGGUGGGUGAAUCUUAAUGAAAUUCAUAGCAACAAGGGUUUCUAUGUUUAGCCUAUUGUUUCCCUCAAUCUUGUUUAUCCCUUGGUCUUCACUCACGCCUAACUUCCUAGCUAUGUAUGUUAUGGUACCACCAACUACGAUUUCUCCCCUACUAUUGGACCUAUUUCUUAUAAGGGAAAGGUAGUCAAGCAAGUAAAAGCAAGUGUUAACGGGUUGGUUGUGUAGCAUAGCCCAUAACAUGAAGAGUUCAUCGUUCCUAGUGUUUCGUAGUUCAGUCCUUCCCCUAAUAGUGCAAGCCAUAACCCUUUGAAGGUACCUAUGUACAGGUUUGUGAAUGUUGCUAGCUUUGUUGGCACGUGUGUUAAACUGGUCAAGACCUGUAAUUCGCUCCCAAAAGGCGGCGGGUUGAUAGUCAACCGGCUUUAAAUCUUGAUUCCAAGAGUCGUGGAUGAACCCCGCAUUUGCGAAGCCCAUCUCAUCACAAAAGUGUUGAAGAGACAUCUCGUAAUCAAUAUUCAUAAGCCGGAAGAAACUCUAUGGUUAGGGUUAUCAAAAUUCAACCUAUCUUUCGUAAAAACAAUAGAACUUAAAAAUUCGUAGGUGAAAUUCUCAUAACCUCUCAUAGGUCUCAACAUAUCAACCCAUCCUAACCUUUCUAGCAGAUUAAACACAUUGUCUUUAAGUCCUAGCUUAUUCAAGUCAUAGUUAUCAGGGCACCUGCAAGGAUGUAAAGGUUUAGAGAUUAGAAUUUUGUACCUAUCUCUUUGCUUGUUGUCCCUGAAAGUGAUGCCAUGAUUCUUGGCUUGUGUUUUCUUCUUUGGAGGAGGUCCCCCUGAUGAGCUUGCAACUUCUUUUCCACUUCUCUUUGAAGCCAUUGCCUUGACCUUGAUUUUGGUGUGAAAGGGUGAUGGUUUGUCCUUGGUUUGUUUUGGUGGAAAAGGUUGGUUUAGUGAUGUGGUGAAGGUUUAAGUGAGCUUUAGGGGUUGGGUUAUGGAGAUUGGGGAAGAAUUUCUGGUUUUUGGGUUAGGUUAGGAGGGGUUACGAAUUUGGGUGAUGUUGAUUUGGAUGGAUGAAAGUUGUUUCUAAAUGGGGGUUUAUGAUUGGAAUGGUGUUUGUGAUUGAUGGGGUGGAGAAAUUUUGUGAAUUGGUGAGGUUUUGGGGUAGAAACGAAGGUUUAGGGUUUUGUGGUUAUGGAGGUUUUAGAGAGAAGUUUGAAGGUGGAGAGAUGAUUGUGGUGGAGAAAGAGGGAAGAAGAAGGCCAAAAGGUGUGGUUAUACCUACCUGAUGAUCGGGCACGGCCGUGCCAACUUUCUGGAACAAAGGCAAGUUUUGGUUUGUCAAGGUCUGGCACGGCCGUGCCAGUGUGAGCACGGGCCGUGCCAAGGUUCUAGAGGACGAGGCUUCAAAAUCUUCUGUUUUCUUGAAUCCGACUCGGACAAUUACCUACAAAAUACUUAAAAUAACAAAAACAAAGCAAAACAAAAGCAGUUAAAUGCGUGGGUUGCCUCCCACGAAGCGCUUCUUUAUAGUCAUUAGCUUGACGUUUUAAGAAAGAGUCCUUUGAAGGGAUCAAAGAGGUCAUAUUGUGUAGAUGACGCUAAUGAGCGUUCUUUCGCAUCAUGACCUUUAAUCACGUUACAAGAAUAGAGAGCGGGACCUUUCAUAUAAUUCUCCAACUCAAACCCUAUCAGCUCAUCACUCACUUGAAAAAUAAUCCGACCAUUCUGAACAUCUACUAUAGCACCCGCAGUGGCGAGAAAGGGUCGUCCUAAAAUUAUAGGGCACUCAUUGUCCUCAUCUAUGUCAAGCACCAUGAAAUCAGUUGGGAUGUCUAUCCCUUCUAUUUUAACGGGGAUGUCCUCGACAUUUCCGACAGGUUGGAUAUCAGAACGAUCGGCUAACUUCAAUGUUGUUUCGGUAAGCUUUAACUCUCCCAACCCCAGCCUUUAAAAGAGGGGUAAGGGCAACAGGCUAACACUAGCUCCUAAAUCACAUAAGGCUUGGUUUAAGGUUUCACUCCCUAUCAUACAAGGGAUGGCAAAGCUUCCUGGAUCUCUAAGCUUUGUAGGAGGCUUCUUGAUGAUUGCACUAUUUUCCCUUGUCAAAGCUUUUGUUUCAUUAUGAUCUAUAGCCUUUUUCUUUGAAAAAAUUUCUUUUAAAAACUUGGCGUAUAGAGGCAUACGAGAUAAAGCUUCAGCAAAGGGAAUCUUAAUGCAAAUCUUUUGAAGUAUGUUUAAGAAUUUAGUGAACUGAGUCACCAAGUUGAGCUUAGUAAGCCUUAAUGGUGUAAGGGCUUUGUCCUUAUCAAGCAAUUUCUCACUUUCUAUCACACCUUUCUUACCUAGACACUUAACACUCUCUCCCUUGACACUUUUGGCUUUAGCAACGGUCUCUUCUAGCUUACUACCCCCAAGAAAAAUAGCGUUGACAUGAGCUUUGGGGUUUGUUUCAGGUUGACCAGGAAAGACUCCUGGUGUUUGAGAAGAGGUUGCCACUUGUUGGGCUACUUGGGAGAUUUGGGUCUUAAGCAUUUUGGUGUGUGUGGCGAUGGAAUCAACCUUGGUAGUGAGUUUGGAGAGAGAGCCGUUCAGAAAUCCUGUUUGGUUUUUCAGUUCUUGAAGAUUUUUAUUUUGAUUAGCUAUGCAAUUUUCCAACAGAAUCUCCAAACUUGAUUUCUUAGCCACUCUCUGGUUGUUUGUAUAGCCAGGUGGUGCUACUUGUCCAUAGGAACCUUGAGGAUUUUUGUAAAAUUUUUGAUUUGGCCUCGUUCCUUGGUUAAAUUGAGCGUAAUUCAGUUGCUCAAUAUUGGCAGCACUACCUAACUGACAAUCAACACCGAUAUGACCGGAUAUACCACAGAUUUCACAAGGAGGGGAUGCAGAAGAAGGUGUGACAGCAUUAACAUUAAGUUUUUCAAAUUUUUGGGUUAAUGCCUCAACCUUAGCAGCAAGGUGGUUAUAUUCAGAGACUUCGUAUAUACCUGCCUCUUUCUUAGAGGGAGUAGGAGCGGUGACGGCUCUCUCGUUGGUCCAUUGGUAAUGAUUCUGAGCCAUGUCUUCAAUUAAGGAAUAGGCCUCCGUAUGAUUUUUGUUCAUUAGAGCUCCACAUGCAGCUGCAUCAACAGACAUCUUAGUGGUAUAUGACAAGCCAUUAUAAAACGUGUGGACUAUAAGCCAUUUUUCUAAGCCAUGGUGGGGACAAAGUCUAAGCAUUUCCUUGAAACGCUCCCACGCUUCAUAGAGAUACUCCCCAUCUUUUUGAUUGAACCGCGUAAUUUGAUCUCUAAGUUUAGCGGUUUUAGAUGGGGGGAAAAAUCGGGCAAGGAAUGCUCGCCUCAUAUCGUCCCAUGAAGUGAUGGAACCGACUUCUAGGGAAUGGAACCAAGCUCUAGCUCUAUCCCUUAAGGAAAAGGGAAAGAGAUGAAGUCUUACAGCUUCUUGGUUCUCUUUUAUGGCGCCACUGAGUCUUAAGGAAGGAAGAAAUAUGGAGAUUUGAAUCCUUAGUGGGUGAUCCAGAAAACUGAUUUUGCUGCACCAAAUUGAGUAGUGCAAGCUUGAUCUCGAAGUUAUUACCCUCAACCAUUGGGUACACGAUAAUAGCUUGUGGCUCUUCCGUUGAAGGAGUAGCAUACUCUUUGAGAGUGCGUUCAGCCAUAGCAGUAUUAUUUUGUGCAUCUCUCUUUUUCUUAUGGAAAUAUCUUUCGAUCUCAUGAAUAAAUUCUCCGAGACUUUUACUUCUUCGCAUAAGAAACCGAGAACCCAAGAAGUUAGUGGUAAUACAAAGAAAGAAGUAGAAGAAAAGAGGAAGAGAAGAGAGUUCUAAUCACAAAGAAAGAGUUAAUCAAAUUAGUUUUACUCCCCGGCAGUGGCGCCAAAAACUUGAUGAGAUAAAACCGCAAGUGCACGGUCUUACCGAAGUAGUAUAAAAGAGUGUCGUUCCGACAGGGAGUAGUUUAAUUUAAUUAACCUUUGGGAAUGAUUAGAAUAGAGAAGAAUUGUAAGUUGGGGAUUUUCAAGCGUUUGAAAGAUAAAAAUAAUAAAAGGAGCCUUGGGAUCGUUGGUUUCAUCUAAAUAACAAGUCCUUCACAAACCAAACUAAAAGCUUAUAAUGUUAUGUUAGACCUAAUUUCUCAAGACAGUUUCUCUUAUGUUCCUCUAGCAACCAAGCCUAUUUCACUGACUUGAUUACUAUUAGAUUUUGGUUCCUCUAACAACCAAGCCUAUUUCGCUGACUUGAUUGUUAUUAGUUCCCUUGAAGAUCGAAACUAUAUGUCUCAAAGAUUGCAAAGCCUAUUUCGCUGACUUUGCAAUCCUUGUCUAAAUUUACUUGUUCGAAUAUCAAAGCUCCACUUUCGUUUUAUGAAUUGAUAUUUGGAAUAAUGGAUAAACAAUUAUCAAACCCUCCACUUUCGUUUCCACAGUUUGAUAAUGGUUGAUCCAUGUUUAAGCGGUGAAUUUAGAUAAGAAAUUAGGGUUACAUAAGAUUAAGGCUUAGAGCUUGGCUUGAUUAGCAUUAUGUCAUUUAAACUUAUCCAACAAUCCCAAGACAAGGAGAAGUCUACUCACUCAUGUUCAUCGUAGACAUGGGGGAGAAGAGAGAAAGCAUAAAGGUAAAUGACAAGAAAAUAAAGGAAAAGAAAAGAACUUUAAUUAGAAAAGCAAUUGUCACUUAUUGUAUUCCAAGUAAAGAUGAAUAUUUGUGAUGAAUGGCUACUCUAUUUAUAGAAAUCAUUCGACUUAAAAUCUAAGCUAUUACAUUCGGGCUAAAAAUAGAGUAGCUUAAAAUCUAGGCAAAAGCAGCAAAAGGCACUCUGGAUGGUGGCACAGCCGUGCCAAGGCUAGCAUGGGCCGUGCCAAGCUUUUGACUGUGAGGAGACAUAUUUUUGUCUCUCAAUCUUCAUAUUUUUGCAUUCAAUCGGCUCCAAGCCCCUUUCUUUUGCUCCAAGACUUGAUCCAUCCAAUAUUCAUUCCUGAAAUAAAAUAAAAUGCAAUUUGUAGUAAACUAUCCUAAAAAGGAAAUAAUGCUAAUAUAAAAUAAAAUAAAAUUUAAUUAAAACUAAACUAAAAAGCAUAUAAAAAUAGUCAAUAAAUGACUCAUCACUCUUGAAUCAUCUUAACUUUCUCAGUAGUCUGCUGAACAAUCUCUGGUCCUAGGACCACUCUUUCACCUCAUUCAAACCAGCACAACGGAGUUCUGCAUCUCCGACCAUACAAAGCCUCAAAAGGUGCCAUUCGAAUACUAGAAUGAUAACUAAUAUUGUAUGUGAACUCGAUCAACGGAAGAUGACUAUCCCAAGUUCAUCCUUGCUCAAGAACACAAACUCUCAACAAAUCCUCUAGCGAUUGAAUUGUCCUCUCCAACUGACCAUCUGUCUGCGGAUGAUAAGCCGAACUCAAUCUCAAUUUCGAACCUAAAGCCUCUUGCAAACUCUUCCAAAAUCUAGAAGUAAAUGUUGGAUCUCUAUCUGAUACGAUGCUCGAAGGAACACCAUGUAACCUCACAAUCUCCUUGAUAUAAAUCUCUGCCAGCUGGGCAACAGGAAAACUAAUAUUAAUCGGUAGAAAAUGAGCCGACUUCGUCAAUCUAUCAACGAUUACCCAAAUUGCAUCGUUCCCUCUAGGAGUAUUUGGCAAACUCGUCACAAAAUCCAUGGAUAUACUAUCCCAUUUCCAUUCCGGCACAUCUAAAGAUACCAUCAUACCAGCAGAUUUCUGAUGCUCAAUCUUCGACUUCUGACAAACUAAACAGGAAUACACAAACUGUGCCACAUCACGUUUCAAUCCAGACCACCAGAAAAUCUUCUUUAAAUCGUGAUACAUCUUCGUAGCUCCUAGAUGAAUACUCAAGCUACUUCUAUGACUCUCUUCAAGAAUCAUUUUCUUCAUAUUUGCAUCGUCAGGAAUGCAAAUCCGACCUCGGAAUCUCAACACACCGUGAUCAUCGACUUUAAAGUCAUCGUCUUCCGUCUGAUUACUAGCAACCAACAAGUCUACAAACUUGACAUCAACUUUCUGUGCCUCUUUAAUACUUUUCAGAAAUUCACUAUCAAUCUUCAGGAUUCCCAGUUUCACACUCUGAGGUGACCAUUCACAAACCAAACUCAAAUCACUGAACUGUUCAAGUAACUCAAACUCUCUAACCAUCAAAGCGGACAUAUGCAAUGUCUUCCUGCUCAAGGCAUCCGCAACAACAUUGGCUUUACCUGGAUGAUAAUUCAAACCAAAGUCAUAAUCUUUCAACAAUUCUAGCCAUCUACGCUGCCUCAUAUUCAAUUCCUUCUGAUCGAACAAAUACUUCCAACUCUUGUGAUCGCUAAACACCUCAAACCUCGAACCAUACAAGUAAUGUCUCCAUAUCUUCAAUACAAAGACCACAGCCGCCAACUCUAAAUCAUGCGUCGGGUAAUUCUUCUCAUGAAUUCUCAACUGUCUUGAAGCAUAAGCUACCACUUUACCAUCUUGCAUAAGUACGUACACCUCCUAAACCCAACUUGGACGCAUCACAAUACACCACAAAAAGCUCAUCCGAUUUCUUCAAUUCACUGAAAUUGUUCUCACAAUGAAUAUCCCACACAAAACCUUUACCUUUACAAGUCCAUUGUGUUAGCGGAAAUGCUAACUUGGAAAAUCCUUCAAUGAAUCUUCUGUAGUAACCAGCUAAACCCAAGAAGCUUCUAAUCUCUGUAACUGACUUAGGAGUCUCCCAUUGCGAUACCGCUUCAACUUUAGACGGAUCCACUGCAAUACCAUCACCAGAAAUAACAUGGCCAAGAAAACUUAUUUCUUUCAACCAGAAUUCUCACUUAGAUAAUUUAGCAUAAAGUUUCUUCUCUUUCAACGCUUGCAAGACAAUCUUCAGAUGCUCAGCAUGUUCUUCUUCAGUCUUGGAGUACAUCAAAAUAUCGUCGAUAAACACAACCACGAACCGAUCCAAAAAUGCAUGGAAGAUGCGAUUCAUAUACUCCAUAAACACUCCAGGUGAAUUGGUCACACCGAAAGGCAUAACUUUAUAUUCAUAGUGACCAUAACACGUUCUGAAAGCUGUCUUCUGCAUAUCUUCAUCUUUUACUUUAAUCUGGUGAUAACCUGAUCUCAAAUCAAUCUUGCUGAAAACUUUCGCACCCACUAACUGAUCCAUCAAAUCAUCAAUUCUCGGAAGUGGAUACCUAUUCUUGAUAGUUACCUUGUUCAACUGACGAUAGUCAAUACACAAUCUCAUGCUACCAUCUUUCUUCUUCACUAGCAAAACUGGCGCUCCCCAAGUUGAAACACUUGGUCUAACAAAUUUCUUCUCAAGCAAAUCUUCUAACUGUUUCUUCAACUCAGCUAACUCGGAAGCAGACAUACGAUAAGGUGCCAUCGACACCGGCUUCGUUCCAGGAACAAGAUCAAUAGAAAACUCGACUUCUCUCUUAGGAGGCACAUCAGGAAUUUCAUCUAAAAAAACUUCAGGAAAAUCGCAUACCACUUGUAGCUUGUCAAUCACUACUUGAUUCUCAAUAGAUAAAGAAGCCAACAACGAAAACAUCAAAAUACCAUCGCGUUCCAUUUGCUUCAGCUGCUUAGUAGUUAAGAACUCUGCACCACUUUCCUCUUCAGCGGAAGAGAAAUACACUAACUUGCUAAAACAAUUGAUAUGAACAUGGUUGUAUUCUAACCAAUUCAUACCUAGAAUCACAUCCAUACCGUUCAAAGGUAGACAAACUAAAUCCAUUUCAAAAUCACGACCAAACAUAGACAAAGGACAUCGCAAACAUACGAGAGAAGUAGUCACCGAACCCUUAGCUGGAGUUUCGACAACCAUCUCUCCAAUCAUAUCAGAAAAAUCAAGACCCAAAGCAGAAACACAAUCAAAAGAAAUAAAGCAAUGCGUAGCACCAGUAUCAAUAAUAGCAACUAAAGGAGUAUUAUUAAUAUAGCAAGUACCUCUGAUCAAACGAUCCUCAUUCUCUGUCUGAGUAGCAGCCAGAGCAAAAACUCGACCUGUAGUAGGCGCCCUCUUAGGCUGCUUGCAUUGGGAACCAAUAUGACCCUCUUCAUUACAGUUGAAGCACACAAUAUCAUUACGCUUGCAAUCAGCUACAAUAUGACCCUUCUUGCCACACCGAACACAUUUCUUGAUCUCUUCUGGACAAACAUUACUCUUGUGGCCUUUCUCACCACAAUUGAAACAAGUAAUCUCAGUUGGAGCAUCCUUCUUCUUAGGCCGCCUAUCAUCGACCAUUCUCUGUUUGCCCUUGUCAGUAGGGGCACUAUAAGGCUUAGGGUGACUCUGCUGGCCCUUGGUCUUCCGCUCAUUCACAACCUUGUAAUGAGCCUUGGUAUCCUCCUCAUAAAUCCUGCAUCUAUUAACCAAAUCAGGGAAAACUCGGAUCUGUUGGUAUCCGAUCGCCCUCUUAAUGUCGGGCCUCAAACCGUUCUCGAACUUGAUGCAUUUCGAGAACUCAGCAGUAUAGUGCGGAUAGAACUUUGCCAACUCCACAAACUUGGCAGCAUACUCUGUCACAAACAUGUUUCCUUGCUUCAACUCAAGGAACUCGAUCUCUUUCUUCCCGCGAACGUCUUCCGGAAAGUAUCUUCUCAGGAACUCUCUCCUGAACACAGCCCAAGUCACAGCAGCUCCAUCUUGCUCAAGGUUAGGUAGCAGACUAACCCAGCAAUCAUCAGCUUCCUCAGCUAGCUGAUGCGUACCGAAUCGUACUUUCUGGACCUCAGUGCACUGCAUCACUCUGAAAAUCCUCUCCAUCUCUUUAAGCCACGUCUGGGCUCCAUCUGGGUCAUAUCUUCCUUUGAAAGUUGGAGGAUGAUUCCUCAUGAAGGUCUCUAACAUUCUAGUCUCAACGUUCACACCAACAUUUGCGUUAGGUUGUUGUCCCACAGCCUGGGCAACAGCUUGUAGAGCUGCAGCUAACGCAUCAUCGUUCCUUCCAGCCAUUUCUGAUAUUCUACAACAAGUAGAAACAACAACAUAAGAUAGUAAUACAAAUAUUACUAAGACUCGACAAGACUCUUCUAAUUGACCGGACGGACCGACCUGCUCUGAUACCAAUUGUAACACCUCGUUUUCCCAAUAUGAAAAUUUCUUAAACAUUUAUCAGAGUAAACAGCAUAAACGGGAUAUCACAUUCAACAUAAUCCAAAAUCAGUUAAAUAACAAUUUAACUUUCAACAAAUUACUUAAACAAUGUAGCGGAAAUUAUUUCAUAAACCAUAAAUCAUUUUGGCACGUAGGCCCCAUGAAAAUAUUUCAACAGUUAAUCCACAUUAUAAAAAUGACAUAAAUGUUCAUGUAAGAGAAUGAAGCAUGCAUAACAAACACCCCAUCCCGUUACGUAUCAGAGCGACCUAGACGACUCAGUGAGGCAAGGCCACUCACGACAGUAAACUGCACACUUAAGCAUGAUCACCUGCAAGUUACUCAUACGAAGAGCAACGUUUUCAAGCAGAAGGGGGUGAGAUUUCAUAACACAAUAACAUUAAUCAAUAUAAUUCGAAAUCAUAAUUAACAUCAUAAUCAAUCUUAAUCGUCAUUGCAUCUUUGAUAAACAAUUAUCAAGUAAUCACAGCUUCAAUCAUCAUCAAUAACAUAAACAUCUUUAAACUCGACAAAUGCGACAAUGCAACUUAGACACUUAUAUGCAUGUGGUACCAAUCGUCAUCAUAAGUAUUAAUAUACUUUAAUCGUGUGGAGGACAAAGCUCCUAUCGUGUGGAGGACAAAGCUCCGAUCGUGGUGACGACAAAGCUCAAUGUAUGCUAAUGCAUGGACUCUAUCAACAAAACAUCUUAAUCAACUUAUCACUUAUACAUCCAAUAAUUUGGAGUUCAUCGUCAACUUAAUUCAGACUCAUGCAACUUAGUUUGAUAACAAUUGCAGCACAAUCAAAUCACAUCAAGCUUAAUAACAAUUCAUUUUCAACAAUUUCUUGAUCAUUCCAUAAUAAUUCAAGUAAAUGCAAUCAAUCCAUAAUUCACUUUAUAAUCACUUAACAUCUCAUAAAAGCUUCACAGUUCUCAGUCAAUAUCUUUAAUAGGUCUCAUUAGUAUCUAAAGUUCAUUUCCUAACCAAACCAAACAACUCAGGUCUGGAAGUGCUCGCGAGGCGAGAGCAUCUGCUCGCCAUGACAAGUACAAGCCAGAUUCCCAACUAAGGUUGUUCCAGGUUCAUUCUUGUUCUAAAUCAUUCUCUAAUCAAUAGUAGGCACCUAAAGGUACUCAAAGGCAUCUAAGGUUCAACUCAAAGGUCAAAAACUCAGAAUUCGACAUGCUCUCUGGUCAUGCUCGCUAUGGCGAGUACGGUUGCUCGCCGUGGCGAGCUACAACAAGUAACUCGCGAGGCGAAGGGUUAUGGCUCGAGUGGCGAGCGAUGAACAUUCAUCCCUCGCGAGGCGAGGAUCAUGGCUCGCUAUGGCGAACGAUGAACAUAGGCUCGGGUAGAAUGCAAUUUUUACUAAAAUUUCAUCAACUAACAUGGUUCUAAGCCUAAUUUCAAUUCCAGAAUUCAUCCUAAACAUAUUCUAAGGUUAUAGGACGGUUUCUACAUCAAUCUAAUCAAGUUUUACCGUUUGAUCAUCAAUUUUAGGGAUUUGACCUAAUUUCAAAACUUUUCUAAAUCAAUCCUAACUUUGUCAAUUAAUCAUCAGAAUCAUGACAAUCAAUAUUACUGAAUUAUUAGUCUCACCCUUACCUUAUAUGAAGAAAUCGCAGCCCUCCUAGUAGAUUCUCUCUUCUCUUGGCUUUUUCUCCCUUUUUCUCCAAAACAGUCGUACGUGCAAUUGUUGUUCUUAAACUAGGUCUUUUUCUUUUAUAUCUCUUUCCUAUUUCUUAUCCUAUCUCACUUUCUCCCCCAAAACUCUCUAAAAUCUCAAAACAGCCCUCAACUAAAUAUGUUAUUUUAUUUUCAAAUCUUAUUUUAUUUAACAAUAAAAUAAGUCUCAUAAUCUCAUCAAAUCAUCAAAACACAUCAAAAUCACUCAAAUCAUCUAAAUCAUCUUAAAUCAACAAAACUCACACAUAUAUUAUAUAAAUAUAAUAUAAUUUCCUAAACUCGAUUAAAUAAUUAAAUAAACGAAAGUGGGCGUUACAACUCUCCCCAACUUAAAAGAUUUUCGUCCUCGAAAAUUUACCUCAAGCAAACAAAUCUGGAUAAGACUCAAGCAUCUUACUCUCAAGCUCCCACGUCAAGCUUUCACCAGUCGCUCCAGCCCAAACGACUCUAACAAGGGGUAUCUCCUUGCCUCUCAACGUCUUCACUUUACGAUCAUCAAUCCUCACCGGUAAAGUCUCUACCGUAAGGUUGUCUCUAACUUGCACAUCAUCACUUUGAUCACAUGAGAUGGAUCCGGAACAUACUUCCGAAGUUGCGACACAUGGAAAACAUCGUGCAAAUUCGAAAGAUGCGGUGGUAAUCCUACUCGAUACGCCACCGUUCCAACUCUUUCCGAUAUCUGAUACGAACCAAUAAACCUCGGAGUCAAUUUCUUUGACUUCAAAGCACGUCCAACACCAGUCACUGGAGUGACUCUCAAAAACACGUGGUCUCCUUCCUAAAACUCAAGAUCCUUCCUGCGUUUAUCAUGAUAACUCUUUUGUCGACUAUGCGACACUUUCAUUUUCUCUUGAAUCAUCUUAACUUUCUCAGUAGUCUGCUGAACAAUCUCUGGUCCUAGGACCACUCUUUCACCUGAUUCAAACCAGCACAACGGAGUUCUGCAUCUCUGACCAUACAAAGCCUCAAAAGGUGCCAUUCCAAUACUAGAAUGAUAACCAUUAUUGUAUGUGAACUCGAUCAACGGAAGAUGACUAUCCCAAGUUCCUCCUUGCUCAAGAACACAAACUCUCAACAAAUCCUCUAGCGAUUGAAUUGUCCUCUCCGACUGACCAUCUGUCUGCGGAUGAUAAGCCGAACUCAAUCUCAAUUUCGAACCUAAAGCCUCUUGCAAACUCUUCCAAAAUCUAGAAGUAAAUCUUGGAUCUCUAUCUGAUAUGAUGCUCGAAGGAACACCAUGUAACCUCACAAUCUCCUUGAUAUAAAUCUCUGCCAACUGGGUGUAACACCCCGUUUUCCCAAUAUACAAAUUUCAUAAACAAUUAUCAGAGUAAAAACCAUAAACGGGAUAUCACAUAGAAACGUAAUCCAUAAACAGUUAAAUAAUAAUUUAACCUUCACAAUAUCUUUAACAUAGCAGCGGAAUAUUUAAUUCAAAAAUCAUAAAUCAGCUUGGCACGUAGGCCCCAUCAAAAAUAGUUCAUAAUCCAUAACAUAAUAAAAAUAACAUAUUAUCCACGUAAGAGAAUGAAGCAUGUUAUAGCAUAUAACCCCAUCCCGUUACGUAUCAGAGCGACCUAGACGACACAGUGAAGGCAAGGCCACUCACGACGGCAACUGCACACUAAGCACGAUCACCUGCAAGUUACCCAUACGAAGGGCAACAUUUUCAAGCAGAAGGGGUGAGAUUUCAUAAUACAAUAACAUUAAUCAAUGUAAUUGAGAAUCAUAAAUUAACAACAUAAUCAUUCCAUUAUUAACUUUGCAUAAUUGCUAAACAGUUAUCACGUAAUCGUUUGUUCAAUAAUUAGGAAUAUCAUAACAUAUCAAAUAACACUUAUCACGUAAUCACAUAUUCAAUCAUCAUCAACAAGGCAUCUUAAUCAUGACAAUGUGACAAUGCUCUUAGACUCCUUAUAUGCAUGUGGUACCAAUCGUCAUCAUAAGUAUUAAUAUACUUUAAUCGUGCGGAGGACAAAGCUCCUAUAAAACGUGCGGAGGACAAAGCUCCUAAUAUUCGUGGUGAGGACUAAGCUCAAUGAUAUGCUAUGCAUGGACACUUAUGAACAGAACACGUAAUCAUCGUAAUCAACAUGCAUCCAAUAAUUUGGAGCUAAACAUUAUCAUAUACAUAUGCACUUAGUUAAAUAACAGAAGCAGCAUAAACAAGUCACACAGCAAGAUGAUAUCAUUAUAUCAAUAGCACAUAAAUUGCAUUAUUAUCAAACCUUCAUAUCUUGCAUGAAUAUACAAUACAUUAGUUCAUACUCAAUUAAUAUCAAUAUAGUCUUAAACAACUCUACAGGCUGCAGUAAACAUCAUCACUAGGCCUCAAUGCCAAUUAGGGGUUCACUCUUGAUCAACACAUGCGACACAGAUCGCACAAACACUCAAGCAACUACCUUCUGGUUAUACUCGCGAGGCGAGAGUACUUACUCGCCAUGGCGAGUAACACUAAUCUCCCAAACUGAUGUUGUUCUGGGUUCAAUCCUGUCCUAAAAUCAUCCCUAAUCAAUACUAGGUAUGUUCAGGUACUCAAAGGCACUCAAGGUCCAACUAAAAAGGUCGAAACACGAAAUAUGACAUGCACUCUGCCUAAGCUCGCGAGGCGAGGAAAGGUUUCUCGCCAUGGCGAGUUGCACCAGACAACUCGCGAGGCGAAGGGGGAAGGCUCGCAUGGCGAGCGAUGAAUCUUCAUCACUCGCGAGGCGAAGAUCGUAGCUCGCCGUGGCGAGCGAUGAAUGUCGCUACGGCCAGGCUUCCUAAAAACACAAAAAUCCGACGUUUCACAUGGUUCUAAGCUUGGUUUUGAUUCCAGAAUUCAUCCUAAACAUAUUCUAAGGUUACAGGACAAUUCUUACAUUAAUCUAAACAAGUUUUACCGUUUAUUCUCAAUUCUUAGGGUUUUGACCUAAUUCCAAAACUUCUCUAAAUCAAUCCUAACUAUGUCAACUAAUCAUCAGAAUUACAGAGGUUAAUGCUACUGAGUUAUUAGUCCCACCCUUACCUGGUUAUGAAGAAAAAUCGCAGCCCUCUUGGUCUCUUGCUCCUCUCAAAGCUUUUUCUCCCUUUUCCAAAAGUUUUCACGUACAAUCCCCUUUUUCUAACAAUUAGGUCUUCUCUAUUUAUAUCUCUUCCUAAUUACUGAUCUUAUCUCAAUUUCUCCCCCAAAACUAUCUAAAAUAUCAAAACAACCCUCAACUAAAUAUUUUUCAAAUCUUUAUUUUAUUUAACAAUAAAAUAAAUCUCAUAUCAUAAUCAAAUCCUUCAAUACUCAUAACUUAACACGUCAUCGAUCAUAUCAUCAAAACAUAUCAAAAUCAUGCAUAUAUUAUAUAAUUAUAAUAUAAUUGCCUAAACUCGAUUAAAUAACUAUUAAACGAAAGUGGGCGUUACACUGGGCAACACGAAAACUAAUAUUAAUCGGUAGAAAAUGAGCCAACUUCGUCGAUCUAUCAACGAUUACCCAAAAAUGAGCACUGCAUGACCCUGAAAAUCCUCUCCACUUCCUUCAACCACGAUUGGGCACCAUCUGGAUCAUACAUUCCCUUGAAUGCUGGGGGAUGAUUCCUCAAAAAGGUCUCCAGCAUCCUCACUUCUCCAUUACCAGCUUGCGGUUGCUGUCCUACAGCUUGAGCAAUAGCCUCAAGUGCAGCAGCGAUAGCAGCAUCGGUUCUACCAGCCAUCUUAAGAUUCUACAUAAGAAACAACAAUUCAGAACAACAACAUCAACAACAACAACAUUAGAGUUGACACUCUAUCCUAAGUGGCUCAGUACGACACUACUACUUGGGCGGACGGACCAACCUGCUCUGAUACCAAUUGUAACACCCCAUUUCCCAAAAUCAAUUAAAUAAUAAUAAUAAUUCAAUAUUAGAGUAAACCCAACGGGCAUGUCACAUCACAUUCACAAUAAUUAUUAAAUUUGCAGCGGAAUAUUCUCAUCAACCACAAUUCAUACUGUUUUAAAACUCCAUAAUAAAUUCUUGGCAUGAAAGCCUUAACAUCAACAAAUCCAACAUCAAUAGGGCUACAACAGCAAUAAUCAAAAUUUGAUACAUAGGAAAGAAAUUAAACAAUAAAAUCCCAUCCCACGUAUCAGAGCCCUAGACACUUUGAGCCACCACCAACUACUCAGGAUCACCUGCAAGUUACCCAUAGGAAGGGCAACAUUUUCAAGCAGAAGGGGUGAGAUUCACAAAAAUAAAAUAGAUAAGGAAUGCAUCAAUUGAAUCUAACACCCUAUCAUAUAAUUCAUCAACAAUAUAUAAAUAUCAUCAUUUUCAAAUAUUAUCAACAAUGGUAGUUAAUAACCCACUCAACGACUCAUGCAACUCAUCACCAUUCCACUAAGACUCCUCUAACAACACCCAUGCAUGUGGUACCAUAAUCAGGACCGUAGCCCUCACCGCUGUAGAAUGGUUAAAGCAUUCAUUUUCAGGACCUAAGUCCUCACCACUAACACCACUUUAAGCAACUAGUGCUCCACCACUUUGAACGACAAGGCGUUCCAAAGCCGAAGCUCUCCCACUGUUAUGCUUAUGCAAAUGACCCACUUGAGUAUAUCUACAUACAACCAACCUAUGCAUAAAUAUGUAUAGGACACACCACUCCAAUUUACCAUAUUCAGGUAUAACUUAAUUAAUUAAAACAUACAUCCAGCCAGCAUACAUUGAUUGCAACCAAUUUAGAACAUCCAGAAAAAUACACCAACAUAAAAGCCAUGCUUAAUCAACAAGAUAAAUCAACCAUCCACAACAGAAAUCAAUCCAACAAAAUACUGGGCAGCUCGCCUCGUGAGCACAUCUGCUCGCUAUGGCGAGCUCCGGAAACAAGACACUCGCCAUGGCGAGUUCAAGGCGAACUCGAGGCGAACAAAAAUAUGGUGCUCUCGGGAGUUUUGACAUUUUUCUCACUAAAUCAUCAAUUCUAAGUUCCCUAUUCAUCUUUUUGAUCUAAAAAUUGCACCAGUCCUCUCUAAAAUCUUUUAGGUACAUAAAACUACCCAAAAUGCGGCUUAUAACAACACUUCAGAAAUCCAGUUUUUCUCAAAGGUACUCGCCAUGGCGAGUUGUCUCACUCGCAAGGCGAGCCAUGAAGUUGCUCACUCGCUUUGGCGAGCAAAGGCUACUCGCUAGGCGAGCGAUGAACUUCUGUACGGGCAGAAUGCAGGUUUUUCCCAAUGAACUUCGGAGUCAACUUCCUUGAUUUCAAAGCACGUCCUACACCCGUCAUCGGAGUAACUUUCAAAAAUACAUGAUCACCCUCUUGAAACUCAAGGGCCUUCCUCCGCUUAUCAUGGUAACUUUUCUGUCGACUCUGCGACGCUUUCAUCUUUUCCCUUAUCAUCUUGACCUUCUCUGUCGUCUGUUGAACCAAAUCUGGUCCCAACACAACACUCUCUCCUGACUCAAACCAGCAUAACGGAGUCCUGCACCUCCGACCAUACAAAGCUUCGAACGGUGCCAUACCUAUACUCGAAUGGUAACUGUUGUUGUAGGUGAACUCUAUAAAUGGUAGGUGACUAUCCCAAGCUCCACCUUGUUCAAGCACACACACUCUCAACAGAUCCUCCAACGAUUGGAUCGUCCUCUCCGACUGACCAUCUGUCUGAGGAUGAUAAGCCGAACUCAAUCUCAACUUGGAACCCAAAGCGUCCUGCAAACUCUUCCAGAACCUAGAGGUGAACCUCGGAUCCCUAUCCGACACAAUACUCGAAGGAACUCCAUUUAGCUUCACAACAUUAUGAAUAUAAAUCUCAGCCAACUGAGCUACCGGAUAACUGAUGUUGAUAGGAAUAAAAUGUGCCGACUUUGUCAACCUAUCACCCACAACCCAAAUAGAAUCAUGUCUUCUCGGAGUGUUUAGUAAACUUGUCACAAAAUCCAUAGAAAUGCUAUCCCAUUUCCACUCCGGUACAUCCAACGGCGUCAACAACCCUGCAGGCUUCUGAUGCUCAAUGUUAGACUUCUAGCAAGUCAAACAUGCAUACAUAAAAUGAGCGACAUCACGCUUCAAACCGGACCACCAAAACAGCUUUUUCAAAUCAUGGUACAUCUUCGUAGCUCCCGGAUGAAUACUCAACCUACUCUUGUGACUUUCCUCUAAAAUUAACUUUUUCAAUUCUUCAUUGUCAGGAAUACAAAUUCUACCUCUGAAUCUCAAUACUCCCUGAUCAUCAACCUUGAAGUCACUAUCCUCCGUGCCAUUACUAGCAAUCAUUAAAUCAACCAGCUUGACAUCCACUUGCUGUGCUUCUCGGAUACUACCCAAGAAAUCACUAUUAAUCUUCAGCAUGCCCAACUAUAUGCUUUGAGGCGACAACUCACAUACCAGACUCAUGUCUCUAAACUGUUCCAGCAAAUCAAAUUCUUUUACCAUCAUAGCAGACAUAUGCAGUGUCUUCCUGCUCAAUGCAUCAGCAACUACGUUAGCUUUACCAGGAUGGUAAUUCAAACCAAAAUCAUAAUCUUUUAACAACUCAAGCCAUCUCCUCUGUCUCAUGUUCAAUUCCUUCUGGUCAAAUAAAUACUUCAGACUCCUGUGAUCGCUGAAUACUUCAAAUCUGAAACCAUACAAAUAAUGCCUCCAAAUUUUUAAAACAAACACCACUGCAGCCAACUCCAAAUCAUGUGUAGGAUAAUUCUUUUCAUGAAUCCUCAACUGCCUAGAAGCAUAAGCUACCACUUUGCCCUCUUGCAUCAAAACACCACCCAAGCCCAACUUAGACGCAUCAUAAUAAAUAACGAAUGGCUCUUCCGGUUUAGGCAAAAUCAAAAUAGGAGCAGUUGUCAAUCUUCUCUUCAAUUCACUGAAGCUACUCUCGCACUGAGCAUCCCAAACAAAUGACUUACCCUUACAGGUCAACUGAGUCAAUGGAAGUGCCAACUUCGAAAAUCCCUCAAUAAACCUGCGGUAAUAACCAUCCAAACCCAAGAAGCUUCUGAUCUCUGUCACCGGCUUCGGAGUCUCCCAUUGUGAUACUGCAUCAACUUUUGAAGGGUCAACAACAAUACCACUACCAGAAAUAAUGUGGCCAAGAAAACUCACUUCACUUAACCAGAAUUCACAUUUCAACAACUUAGCAUACAACUUUUUCUCUUUCAGUACUUGCAAUACAAUCCUCAGAUGUUCUGCAUGCUCCUCUUCAGUCUUAGAAUAAAUUAGGAUAUCAUCAAUGAAUACACCCACAAACUUAUCCAGAAAGGCAUGAAAAAUUCGGUUCAUAUACUCCAUGAACACACCAGGCGCAUUAGUAACACCGAAAGGCAUCACCUGGUAUUCGUAAUGACCAUAACGUGUCCUAAAGGCCGUCUUCUGCAUAUCUUCAUCCUUCACCUUAAUUUGAUGGUAACCAGACCUCAAGUCAAUCUUAUUGAAAAUCUUUGCACCAACCAGCUGAUCCAUCAAGUCAUCAAUUCUCGGAAGCGGAUACCUGUUCUUUAUUGUAACUUUGUUCAACUGACGAUAGUCAAUGCACAACCUCAUGCUACCGUCCUUCUUCUUUACCAACAACACAGGCGCUCCCACGGUGAAACAUUGGGUCUAACAAACUUCUUAUCAAGCUAGUCCUCCAACUGUUUCUUCAAUUCAGCUAACUCAGAAGAUGACAUACGAUAAGGUGCCAUCGACAUCGGCUUCGUUCCUGGGACAAGGUCAAUUGAAAAUUCAACCUCCCUCUCUGGUGGCACAUCAGGAAUCUCAUCAGGAAACACUUCUGGAAAUUCAUUCACAACCGGGUAACCUAUCAAUCAUAGCUUGAUUUUCUACAGAUAAAUAAGUCAUCAGAGAAUACAUCAAAAUCCCGUCCCGUUCUAGCUGUUUCAUCUGUUUUGUAGACAAAAGCUCAAUUUCACCUUCUUCUUCAGCAGAAGAAAAAUGCAUCGUCUUACUAAAGCAAUUGAUAUGAACCCGGUUAUACUCUAACCAAUUCAUUCCAAAAAUAACAUCCAUACCCGUCAACGGUAAACAAACUAAAUCAACCACAAAGUCUCUACCAAACAUAGAUGUAGGACACCUCAGACAAACAAGAGAAGUAGUUACUGAACCCUUAGCUGGAGUUUCAACAACCAUUUCUCCUUUCAUAUCAGAUACAAUCAGACCCAACUUAUAUGCACUUUCUAAAGCAAUGAAACAAUGAGUAGCACCAGUGUCUAUAAUAGCAAUUAAAGGAGUACUAUUAAAGAAACAAGUACCUCUGAUAAGACGGUCCUCAUUAGUAGUCUGCGUACCAGUCAAAGCAAACACUUUUCCACCAGUUCUAUCCUUCUUCGGCUGUGUGCACUGUGUACUGAUAUGGCCCUCUUCGUUGCAGUUAUAACAUACAACAUCACCACGCUUGCAAUCCGCUAAAAGGUGACCCUUCUGACCACAUCUGAAGCACUUCUUCUCAUCCUUGGUACAAACAUUACUCUUGUGGCCUUUCUCGCCACACUUAAAACAAACUAUCUCAGCAGAAGCAUCUCUCCUAUUCGGCCUCCUCUCAUCAUUAAGUCUCUGCUUACCCUUAUCAGCAGGGGCACUGUACGGCUUAGGACGACUCUGCCGUCCCUUACCUCUUCGCUCACUCAUCACCUUAUAAUGAGCUUUGGUGUCCUCCUCACAGAUCCUGCAACGACUCACCAAAUCAGAGAAAAUUCUAAUCUGUUGGUAUCCUAUGGCUCUCUUGAUAUUAGCUCUCAAGCCAUUCUCAAACUUUAUACAUUUGGAGAAUUCAGCUGUCUCCGCGGUAUAGUGGGGGUAGAACUUUGCAAGUUCCACAAACUUUGCAGCAUACUCAACAACAGAUAUAUCACCCUACUUCAGCUCCAGAAAUUCGAUCUCUUUCCUUCCUCAGACAUCUUCCAGAAAGUACCUGUUUAGAAAUUCUCUCCUGAACACCGCCCAGGUCACUACAGCUUCAUCCUGUUCCAACACAGGCAGCAAACUUACCCACCAGUCAUCUGCCUCCUCAGCCAACAUGUGUGUCCCAAACCGCACCUUUUUCACUUCAGAGCACUGCAUGGCCCUGAAAAUCCUCUCCACUUCCUUCAACCACGACUGGGCACCAUCUGGAUCAUACAUUCCCUUGAAUGCUGGGGGAUGGUUCCUCAAAAAGGUCUCCAGCAUCCUCACUUCUCCAUUACUAGCUUGCGGUUGCUGUUCUACAGCUUGAGCAAUAGCCUCAAGUGCACCAGCGAUAGCAGCAUCGUUUCUACCAGCCAUCUUAAGAUUCUACAUAAGAAACAACAAUUCAGAACAACAACAUCAACAACAACGACAUUAGAGCUGACACUCUAUCCUAAGUGGCUCAAUACGACUCCACUACUUGGGCGGACGGACCAACCUGCUCUGAUACCAAUUGUAACACCCCGUUUCCCAAAAUCAAUUAAAUAAUAAUAAUAAUUCAAUAUCAGAGUAAACCCAACGGGCAUGUCACAUCACAUUCAUAAUAAUUAUUAAAUCUGCCGCGGAAUAUUCUCAUCAACCACAAUUCAUACUGUUUUAAAACUCCAUAAUAAAUUCUUGGCAUGAAGGCCUUAACAUCAUCAAAUCCAACAUCAAUAGGGCUACAACGGCAAUAUUCAAAAUUUGAUACAUAGGAAAGAAAUUAAACAAUAAAAUCCCAUCCAACGUAUCAGAUCCCUAGACACUUUGAGCCACCACCAACUACUCAGGAUCACCUGCAAGUUACCUAUAGGAAGGGCAACAUUUUCAAGCAUAAGGGGUGAGAUUCACAACAAUAAUAUAGAUAAGGAAUGCAUCAAUUGAAUUUAACACCCUAUCAUAUAAUUCAUCAAUAAUAUAUAAAUAUCAUCAUUUUCAAAUAUUAUAAACAAUGGUAGUUAAUAACCCACUCAACGACUCAUGCAACUCAUCACCACUCCACUAAGACUCCUCUAACAACACCCAUGCAUGUGGUACCAUAAUCAGGACCGUAGCCCUCACCGCUGUAGAAUGGUUAAAGCAUUCAUUUUCAGGACCUAAAUCCUCACCACUAACACCACUUUAAGCAACUAGUGCUCCACCACUUUGAACGACAAGGCGUUCCAGAGCCGAAGCUCUCCCACUGUUAUGCUUAUGCAAAUGACCCACUUGAGUAUAUCUACAUACAACCAACCUAUGCAUAAAUAUGUAUAGGACACACCACUCCAAUUUACCAUAUUCAGGUAUAACUUAAUUAAUUAAAACAUACAUCCAGCCAGCAUACAUUCAUUGCAACCAAUUUAGAACAUCCAGAAAAAUACACCAACAUAAAAGCCAUGCUUAAUCAACAAGAUAAAUCAACCGUCCACAACAGAAAUCAAUCCAACAAAAUACUGGGCAGCUCGCCUCGCGAGCACAUCUGCUCGCUAUGGCGAGCUCCGGAAACAAGACACUCGCCAUGGCGAGUUCAAGGCGAACUCGAGGCGAACAAAAAUAUGGUGUUCUCGGGAGUUUUGACAUUUUUCUCAUUAAAUCAUCAAUUCUAAGUUCCCUAUUCAUCUUUUUUAUCUAAAAAUUACACCAGUCCUCUCUAAAAUCAUUUAGGUACAUAAAACUACCCAAAAUGCGGCUUAUAACAACACUUCAAAAAUCCAGUUUUUCUCAAAGGUACUCGCCAUGGCGAGUUGUCUCACUCGCGAGGCGAGCCAUGAAGUUGCUCACUCGCCUUGGCGAGCAAAGGCUACUCGCGAGGCGAGCGAUGAACUUCCGUACGGGCAGAAUGCAGGUUUUUCCCAAAAAUCCCAUUUUCCUCCAAUUCACUCCCCAAAUUAGUUUACAGAUAUGCAAUGAAAGGUUAUAUGCACUCAGAACCCAUUUCUAUCAUCAAUAUAGCAAUCCCUACUCUCAAAACCCAUUAAUUUAACAAAAACCUAGUUUCUCCCAAUUCUCUCAUAAACCUGUUAGAAUCAAAAUCAGAAUUCAGAACCUAUACAAUUGCGGUAAACCUCACCCUUACCUUAGAAUUGCAGAAGAAAAAUGCACAGCAAAAUGAUCCUUGGCUCUACUUGCUCUUCUCUCCCUUUUCUCCCAAAUGUCUUGUUUUUACGUAAAACUGUUUUCUCUGGUUUUCCUUUUCUUUAACUCCCAAAAUGUAACUCCCUUAAUUUUAAUUACUCCCCCUUAAUUCUAUUAAAUAAUACUUAACUCCCCCCAUUCCAAAAUAGUACUAAUUCUCACUUAUUCUAAUUAUUAUUAAAAUAAACUAUAUAAUAAAAUAAACACACCACAUAAAUCACCAAAAAUCAUAUAUUAGACUCCACAUAAAACAAAAUAAUUAAAUAACGACUAGGGCGUUACAGUGGUGAGCUACAACAAGUAACUCGCGAGGCGAAGGGUUAUGGCUCGCGUGGCGAGCGAUGAACAUUCAUCACUCGCGAGGAGAGGAUCAUGGCUCGCUAUUGCGAGCGAUGAAUAUAGGCUCGGGCAGAAUGCAAUUUUUACAAAAAUUUCAUCAACUAACAUGGUUCUAAGCCUAAUUUCAAUUCCAGAAUUCAUCCUAAACAUAUUCUAAGGUUAUAGGACGGUUUCUACAUCAAUCUAAUCAAGUUUUACCGUUUGAUCAUCAAUUUUAGGGAUUUGACCUAAUUUCAAAACUUUUCUAAAUCAAUCCUAACUUUGUCAAUUAAUCAUCAGAAUCAUGACAAUCAAUAUUACUGAAUUAUUAGUCUCACCCUUACCUUGUAUGAAGAAAUCGCAGCCCUCCUAGGUGAUUCUCUCUUCUCUUAUCUUAUCUCACUUUCUCCCCCAAAACUCUCUAAAAUCUCAAAACAACCCUCAACUAAAUAUUUUAUUUUAUUUUCAAAUCUUAUUUUAUUUAACAAUAAAAUAAGUCUCAUAAUCUCAUUAAAUCAUCAAAACACAUCAAAAUCACUCAAAUCAUCUUAAAUCAACAAAACUCACACAUAUAUUAUAUAAAUAUAAUAUAAUUACCUAAACUCGAUUAAAUAAUUAAAUAAACGAAAGUGGGCGUUACAAAAAGCAUCUAAGGUUCAACUCAAAAGUCAAAAACUCAGAAUUCGACAUGCUCUCUGGUCAAGCUAGCUAUGGCGAGUGGGGUUGCUCGCCGUGGCGAGCUACAACAAGUAACUCGUGAGGCGAAGGGUUAUGGCUCGCGUGGCGAGCGAUGAACAUUCAUGACUCGCGAGGCGAGGAUCAUUGCUCCCUAUGGCGAGCGAUCAACUUUGGCUCGGGCAGAAUGCAGUUUUUACAAAAAUUUCAUCAACUAACAUGGUUCUAAGCCUAGUUUCAAUUCCAGAAUUCAUCCUAAACAUAUUCUAAGGUUAUAGGACGGUUUCUACAUCAAUCUAAUCAAGUUUUACUGUUUGAUCAUCAAUUUUAGGGAUUUGACCUAAUUUCAAAACUUUUCUAAUUCAAUCCUAACUUUGUCAAUUAAUCAUCAGAAUCAUAACAAUCAAUAUUACAGAAUUAUUAGUCUCACCCUUACCUUGUAUGAAGAAAUCGAAGCUGUAACGCCCCAUUUUUAUUUAAUUAUUUUUAGUUGAUUUAAAGUCUUUUAUAUGAUUUUUAAAUGAUUUACGUUGAUUUUGUGGUGUGGUAUAUUUUAUUAAAUGAUUAUUUUUAUUAUUUAAUAGAAUAAGUGAGAAAUAUGAUUUAAUUGGAGUUCUGGGGGUUAUACGAGAAUUAAGUAAAUUUAGGGGGAGUAAAGUUAAUAUUGGGAGAUUAUAUUUAUAAAAGAAUAGAAAAUAGAGGGGAGAGGAAGUUUUCACGUACAACGGAGAAAAGGGAGAAAAAGCCUUAGAAGGGAGAAGACCAAGGGAGGGCCGCGACUUCGAAUUAACUAAGGUAAGGGUGAGGCUAACUUACAUUAAUUUUAGUGUAUAUGAUUCUGAUUAUGUUUUAACAAAAGUUAUGAAUAAAUUUGGUGAAUUGGGAAUUAGGGUUAUGAUGAGAAUUGAUGAUUAAAUGAUGAAAUUAGGGUUAAUUGAUGUAGAAAUGAUGAACAGACCUUAGAUGCUUCAUAUAUUGAUGUUUAGAAUCAGUUUCAAGGUUAGAACAAUGGGUUUGGGUGAAUUUUUGAGAAAAACUGUAACCUGGCCGUACUGUUCUUCAUCGCUCGCCUCCCGAGUGAUGAUCCUCGCCAUAGCGAGUGAUGAAGAUCAUCGCUCGCCUCCCGAGAAGGAGUUGUUCGCCUUGCGAGUUGCAUUUCGCAGCUCGCCAUAGCGAGCAAGUUUACUCGCCGUGGCGAGUGUGGGCAGAGAGCUUGCAAGAUUUUGUGUUUUUGAGCUGUGAGUUUAACCUUAGGUGUUUAUGAGGGCCUGAACAUGUACCUUAAUGAUUAGACAAAGUUUUAGAAUGAGUUUGAACUCGGAAUAGGGUCAGAAUGGAUUCUAGAGUGUUUUACCCUAACUCGCCGUGGCGAGUAGAGGCUCUCGCCUCGCGAGCUAGUGCUUGACAGACUGCGUUGUUUAGGAUUUCAUGUGACUUUGUCGCACGAGAGGUUGUGAGUUGAACUUUGAGAUAGCAAUAAAAGAUGUAUAGGAUUUAAAUGAUGAACUGUGAAGCUGGUUAGGGCAAAUUGAGGUUAUUAAUGUGAUAAAAAUUGUAUAAGUAAUACUUGGAUUAUGUGAAAAUGCUAGACAUCGUUGGAUUGUAUAAGAUAUUGUUAUAUCAUGCUGUUGUAUACUGUUGUGUUGCUGUUGAUUGAUCAUGAUUGUUAAUGAUCGCUGGUUUAUACUUAACUGCAUUCAAUUAGAUUGUACAAUGUGUUAGUUCGAGUUGUAAGUGGCGAGUUGUCGUUCUAAGUAACGGAGUCAUAGGUUGUUGAUGUUGAUCAAGUUGGGGAGUGAGUCAUAGUUAUUAUGCACGGUCGUUGUCGUUGUCGUAGUUGAGUUGUAUGCUGAUAUACACAAGUUGAGUCCUUCAUGAUUAGGAAACUGUUGAGGGCUUAUGCCCUGGAAUGCUAUGUCAUUCAACUGUUGAGGGCUUAUGCCCAGGGAUGCUAUGUCAUUCAACUGUUGAUGGCUUAUGCCCUGGAAUGCUUUGUCAUUCAGCUGUUGAGGGCUCAUGCCCUGGAAUGCCUUGUCAUUCAAAUUGUUGGGGGCUUAUGCCCCGAAAUGCUUAGUCAUUCAACCCGUUGAAAUUAGUACCACGUUAUUGUUGUUGUAGAUGUUGUUGAGCGAGUUGGUGUUGUAGAUGUUGUUGAGAGAGUUGUGGUGGUAGAUGUUGUUGAGUGUUGAUGAAUGAGCUGUUGUAGUCGUUGAUAAAUACUGAUGUGUCGUUGUUGUUGAUUGGAUUAGUAAGUGUUAUUAAAAUUGAAGAAGUAUGAAUAUUAUUACUGGGUAUAUGUUGUUAAUUAUGUUAUUUAAUUAAGUUGAUGAUUUAUAUAUAUCUAUUAUUAUUGUUUGUGAAUCUCACCCCUGCUGCUUGGAAUUGUUGCCCUUCGUAUGGGUAACUUGCAGGUAUUGAAGAAUAUUAGAAGUGGUGGCUCAAGUGUCUUAGGGCUCUGAUACGUAACGGGAUGGGAUAUCGUUGUCAUGUUUUCAUUCCUUAUGUAUCAUUAUGAACCUGUUGAUAUUGAUUUUAAUCAUUAAAGAUAUUUUGUUGAGGCCAAGUGCCAAGGAUUUAUUUGAAGGAUGUUUAAUGUUGAAAAUAUUCCCGCUGCGAUGAAUUGAUAUGUUUUAAUGAAUAGCAUUUUAUCCUAUUCAAGAAUUUUUGAAAAGCAGUGUAACACUCCGUUGUUGAUUUAACUCUGAUUUUAUUUAUUAAUAUAACUGUUGGGAAGUCGGGGUGUUACAGAAGCCCUCCUAGUGAUUCUCCUUCUCUUGGUUUUUUCUCCCUUUUUCUGCAAAACAGUCGUACGUGCAAUUGUUUUUCUAAAACUAGGUCUUUUUCUUUUAUAUCUCUUUCCUAUUUCUUAUCUUAUCUCACUUUCUGCCCCAAAACUCUCUAAAAUCUCAAAACAGCCCUCAACUAAAUAUUUUAUUUUAUUUUCAAAUCUUAUUUUAUUUAACAAGAAAAUAAGUCUCAUAAUCUCAUCAAAUCAUCAAAACACAUUAAAAUCAUUCGAAUUAUCUAAAUCAUCUUAAAUCAACAAAACUCACACAUAUAUUAUAUAAAUAUAAUAUAAUUGCCUAAACUUGAUGAAAUAAUUAAAUAAACGAAAGUGGGCGUUACACUUGAUAAGAAGUUUGUUAGACCCAGUGUUUCACCUUGGGGAGCGCCUGUGUUGUUGGUAAAGAAGAAGGACGGUAGCAUGAGGUUGUGCAUUGAUUAUCGUCAGUUGAACAAAGUUACGAUAAAGAACAGGUAUCCACUUCCCAGGAUUGAUGACUUAAUGAAUCAGUUGGUGGGUGCAAAAGUUUUCAGUAAGAUUGACUUGAGGUCAGGUUACCAUCAGAUUAAGGUGAAGGAUGAGGAAAUGCAGAAGAAGGCCUUUAGGACACGAUAUGGUCAUUAUGAAUACAAGGUGAUGCCUUUCGGUGUUACUAAUGCGCUCAGUUUGUGUAUGCAUGUUUGACUUGUCAGAAGUUUAAGGUUGAACAUCAGAAGCCUGCAGGGUUAUUGACACCGUUGGAUGUACCGGAGUGGAAAUGGGAUAGCAUUUCUAUGGAUUUUGUGAUGAGUUUACCAAACACUACGAGAGGACACGAUUCUAUAUGGGUUGUGGUCGACAGGUUGAGAAAGUCGGCGCACUUCAUUCCUAUUAACAUCAAGUAUCCGGUAGCUCAGUUGGCGGAGAUUUAUAUUCAUAACAUUGUGAAACUACAUGGAGUUCCGUCGAGUAUUGUGUCGGAUAGGGAUCCAAGGUUCACUUCUAGGUUCUGGAAGAGUCUGCAGGACGCUUUGGGUUCGAAGUUGAGGUUGAGUUCGGCUUAUCAUCCUCAGACAGAUGGUCAGUCGAAGAGGACGAUCCAAUCAUUGGAGUAUUUGUUGAGAGUGUGUGUGCUUGAGGAAGGUGGAGCUUGGGAUAGUCACCUACCGUUGAUAGAGUUCACAUACAACAACAGUUACCAUUCGAGUAUUGGUAUGGCACCGUUCAAAGCUUUGUAUGGUCGGAGGUGCAGGACUCCUUUAUGCUGGUUUGAGUCAGGAGAGAGUGUUGUGUUGGGACCGGAUUUGGUUCAUGAGACUACAGAGAAAGUCAAGAUGAUCAGAAAAAAGAUGAAAGCGUCGCAGAGUCGACAGAAGAGUUACCAUGACAAGCGGAGAAAGGCUCUUGAGUUUCAGGAGGGUGAUCAUGUGUUUCUGAGGGUUACUCCUAUGACGGGUGUAGGACAUGCAUUGAAGUCGAGGAAGUUGACUCCAAAGUUCAUUGGUCCGUAUCAAAUAUCAGAGAGGGUUGGAACUGUGGCAUAUAGAGUUGGUUUGCCACCACAUCUUUCGAACUUGCAUGAUGUGUUUCAUGUGUCGCAACUUCGGAAGUAUGUAGCGGAUCCUUCGCAUGUUAUUCCGAGAGAUGAUGUGCAAGUUAGAGACAACCUUACGGUAGAGACUUUACCCCUUGUGAAAGUCGUUUGGGACGGAGCGACUGGUGAAAGUUUGACUUGGGAGCUGGAGAGUAAGAUGCGAGAUUCUUAUCCAAAGUUGUUUGUUUGAGGUAAGAUUUCGAGGACGAAAUUCUGUAAUUUGGGGAGAGUUGUAACGCCCUAGUCGUUAUUUUAAUUAUUUUGGAUUUAUGUGGAGUCUUUUUCAUGAUUUUAAAUAAUAUUGGUGGAUUUUAUGGUGCGUUAUAUUUUAUCAUAUAGUUUAUUUUAAUAAUAAUUAGAAUAAGUGAGAAUUAGUAUUAAUUGGAGUUUUGGGGGUUAUGUUAGAAUUUAUUAGAAUUAAGGGGGAGUAAAUAAAAUAAAGAGAAGUUAAGAAAGAAAGAAAGAGUCAGAAUACGUUUUACGUGAAACAGACAAGUUUUGGGAGAAAAACCAAGAGCAAGGGAGAGGAGCUUAGGAACCGACUUUUGUUGUGCUUUUUCUGCAAUUCUAAGGUAAGGGUGAGGUUUACCACAAUUGUAUAGAUUCUGAAUUAUGAUUUUGAUUUUAACAGGUUUAUGAAAGUGUUGGGAAAAAUUAGGUUUUGUUGAAUUAAUAGGUUUUGAGAGUAGGGAUUGUUGUAUUGAUGUUAGAAAUGGGUUCCAAGUGCAUACAACCUUUCAUUGCAUAUCUGUAAACUGAUUUGGGGAGUGAAUUGGAGGAAAAUGGGAUUUUUGGGAAAAACCUGCAUUUUGCCCGUACAGAAGUUCAUCGCUCGCCUCGCGAGUAGCCUUUGCUCGCCAUAGCGAGUGAGCAACUUCAUGGCUCGCCUCGCGAGUGAGACAACUCGCCAUGGUGAGUACAUGUGAGAAAAACUGGAUUUUCAAAGUGUUGUUAUAAGCCGUAAUUUGGUUAGUUUUAUGUACCUAGAUGAUUUUAGAGAGGACUAGAGCAAGUUUUGGAUUAAAAAGAUGAAUAGGGAGCUUAUAAUUGAUGAUUUAGUGAGAAAAAUGUCAAAACUCCCGAGAGCACCAUAUUUUCGUUCGCCUCGAGUUCGCCUCGAACUCGCCAUGGCGAGUACCCCUUUUCUUGAGUUCGCCAUAGCGAGUAGGAGUACUCGCGAGGCGAGUUGCCCAGACUUUGAACUGUUGGUUCUGUUUUGUUGAUGGUUGAUUUAUCUUGAUGUUUGAGCAUGGCUAUUAUAAUGGUGUAUUUUUCUGGGAUGUUUAAAGUGGUUAUAAUGAAUUGAUGUUGGCUGGAAUGUAUACUUUCAUUUAAUUAAGUCAUACAUGUUGUUGCAUUUUGGAGUGGUGAGUCAUAUACAUAUAUAUGCAUAGGUUGAGUUGUAUGUAGAUAUACACAAGUGGGUCAGUUGCAUAAGCAUAAAAGUGGGAGAGCUUCGGCUCCGGAACGCCUUGUCGUUCAAAGCGGUGGAGCACUAGUUGCUCAAAGCGGUGUUUAGCGGUGAGGACUUAUGUCCUGAAAAAUGAAUGCUUUAACCAUUCUACAGCGGUGAGGGCUUCGACCCUGAUUAUGGUACUAAAUGCAUGGGUGUUGUUAGAGGAGUCUUAGAGGAGUGGUGGUGUGAUGCAUGAGUCGUUGUGUUGGUUUUUAAUUACCAUUUGUUGUUGAUAUUGAUAAUGAUGAUAUUUAUAUAUGUUGAUGAAUUAUUAUGAUAGGGUGUUAGAUUCAAUUGAUGCUUUCUUUAUUUAUAUUAUUGUUGUGAAUCUCACCCCUUCUGCUUGAAAAUGUUGCCCUUCCUAUGGGUAACUUGCAGGUGAUCCUGAGUAGUUGGUGGUGGCUCAAGUGUCUAAGGCUCUGAUACAUUUGGGAUGGGUUUACUUAAUUAUGUUUCAUUCCUUAUGUAUCAUAUUUUGAUUGUUGCUGAUGUAGCCCUUUUGUUAUUGGAUUUUAUGUUUUUAAGGCUUUUAUGCCAAAAAUUUAUUAUGGAGGUUUAAACAGUUGUUGUUGUUGUUUUGAUGAGAAUAUUCCGCUGCAGAUUUAAUGAUAAUUUUGAAGGAUGUUAAUUAAAUAGAUUUUUAUAUUCUAUUUAAGAAAAUUUUGAAAAUGUAGUGUGACAUGCCCGUUUGGGUUUUACUAUGAUGUUAAAUUAUUAUUAUUUAAUUGAUUUUGGGAAACGGGGUGUUACAAGAUGCACUUGACCUUGUGAAAUUCUAUCGAAGAUAUGUUUGUGACGAGAAUCGAAGAUGCUAGUUCCGGUUCGAUGAGCGGAAAGAUAUCGAAAACAGUUAUUUCUGUGGAUAAGGUCAAAUGUCGUAACGGCUAUAUUCGAUAUUCAAAUCGAAUGGCUAAGAUUAGGUAGUUUUCUACAAUUCUAACGUUAAAACUAGGUAGUUAUUUCCCUGUUUGUAUAAAUAGUAGUUUUUCUUAGGAAAAAAGGGUCACAAUUCAAUCAUACUAAAAACUUACACUUAAUGAUGUCCGUAUGGAAGCGACAAACGAGUCACAAGUUGCAAUGUAUGAACGUGUGCACCAACUUUUAUUCAGUCAAUGCAAUUUCAAUACAUUUCUUUAAAUGACUUUGCAAUUUACUUAUUCAUUUGAAGUAAUUUCUUUACUGUUAUUUGCAUCAAACUUCGAUUGGAUUCGAUUCUCUUUUAUUUUUAUCCUUGUUUCUAUCAAAGAUCUUCAAGAACAAGUGUCACGUCUAAAAGGGAUAGUAAAAGCACAAUAUGCUCUUAAGAUUUACUAGUUGAUCUUGCAAUUAAACAUUUUGAAACCAGCAAUUGUUUACCAAAUUUCAAUGUAAACAAAUUGGCACGCCCGGUGGGACCUUUUGUGCUUUUACUAUUAAAUCUUGUAAUAGAGUUUUUAAAAUUUUUGGUCUGUAUUGUGCAUCUGUUUGUGGAAUAACAAAUUACUUCCUAAAAUGACGCGUCCUCCUCCCGUUCUAGGCACAGCGGCAUCGAACGCCGCUUUCGCAUCAGGAACAGCGACCAAUCCACCAGUACCGCCAGGGCCUACGCAACCUAGCCCAACUAGUAGUACGACUUCCGUAAUAGAGCCUGUAUACACCCUAGCGGACGAUAAUGUGAAUUCACAAACGUCACAGGCCAGUACGUCGAAUACGAUGGCCAAUAAUACUUCUCGAGCCAUUCCAGCGGUUACGACGGCCGCACAAACUACACAGGCUGUGGGAAGUGCGUUGUCUCAAAGGUUUCUAUAUCUUGGCACUAGCAGAAGGGGAUCAUAUGGUAUACCAACCUCUUCGAUGCAAAAUUCGCAGACAAGUCCGUUGGUAUUUUCUGAGAAUUUAAAUACGUCAAUAUCACCAUUGUUCAACCAAGGGGGAAACAUCUCAUUUGGGAGACCCCAACAAGCGUUUGCUACGUUCGGUUCGCCUCAACAAUCGUUGACCAACGCCUCUCUAGGCGCUUUAAGGAAAACCAUGGAAGAAACUAACCAUGAUAUGGUUAAUAUGGUUACUCAAUAAGUAACAACAGUUAUCAAUCCUCUGGUUCGAGAAACCAAUAGCAGUUAUCAAGCACUAUCACACCAGAUGGAGCGAAUAGCCGAUUUUUUGGGCGCACCUGCAGUGCGAAUCGCACCAACGCCUCAAAACACUAAUGUAAGGCAAAGAGAGGCACCUGUCGAAGAACAGGUAAAUCAAGUGCCUGAAAAUCAAGCAAAAGAAGUGAAACAUGAAAUACCAGGGGAGCCUGUCAGGAUUCCCGUAAUGGUGAAUAUGCACCAAAAUGCAGAUCAAGUGGUCAUGCAAGCCCGUCGAAACAACUAUGAGGGCCAAAAUAAUAUAGCUAACAUAGUCGAGGCAUUGUUAGCCCAAAAUGGUUUCAAUACAGGAUUACACCGCCCAAAUUUCGUUUCAGCCUUAUCCGAAUUUGUGCUGGAAACUGAGAUGCCUAGAAACCAUAAAAUCCCCAAGUUCACUAAAUUCGUCGGGGAAACAAAUGAGUCAACAGUCGAACAUAGUGCUCGAUAUAUUAUGGAAGCUUGGGACUUGGCGAAUAACGAGAACUUGAAGAUGAAAUAUUUCCCAAGCUCUCUAACGAAGAAUGCAUUUACAUGGUUCACAACGUUGCCUCCUCAUUCUGUAGUCAGUUGGAACCAAUUGGAAAAGGCAUUCCAUGAGAAAUUUUACAUGGGUCAGUCUAAGAUUAGUUUGAAAGAACUGGCUAGCGUUCGACGCAAGACACAUGAGUCGAUAGAUGAUUAUCUGAACAGAUUCCGACUCCUUAAGGUCAGAUGCUUCACAUCUGUGCCAGAACAUGAGUUAGUCGAAAUGGCCGCCAGAGGCCUAGACUAUUCUGUUCGGAAGAAAUUAGAUACACAAUAUCUUAGGGAUAUGGCACAAUUAGCAGAUAGAGUCCGCCAAGUUGAAAGGUUUAAGGCUGAAAAAGCCAGGACAAAUAGGUUCCCUAAGAAAGAAAUGGUUGCUUAUAUAGAUACUGGAGAUAGUGAUCCAGAAUUCGAUUGGGGAUCUAAAUCUGUUGAUGAUAACGAAAUAAAUCUCGCAGAAUUAAAAGAUGGGCCACCUUAUACUUGUAAGUUACUAAGGCCAUCAAAUGGAAAAAAUCUAGAAGAACCUAAAAAUGAUAAAUAUCCCCCGAUAACAUAUACUUUUGAUGUAUCUAAAUGUGAAGAGAUUUUUGAUCUUCUAGUUACUGAUGGCAUAAUUCUAGUGCCAAGUAACAUGAAACUUCCUCCUCUAGAGCAGAGGAAAAAGAGAGGUUUUUGUAAAUUCCAUGGUUUUUUAGGACAUAACUUAUCCCGUUGUACUCGUUUCAGGAGGCUCUCGAGGAGGGAAGACUGAAAUUUGGAGAAAAGUCUAAAACGACUACAAAAUCUGAUGUCGAACCUUCAAAGAAAGCCGACUCCAUGUAUGCUGAAGUGAUUGGCAUAAAUAUGGUAGAUGUUGCAGAAUCAAGCGAUAGCAAGCUACCAUUGGAAAUACAACCCCUCAAAAGGGUACUACUUAAUGAUGUUGAAAUGGUUACAGAAGACCAUGUUUCAAAUAACAAUAUGGUCACUGAAGACCAAUUCAAUGAAAAUGUGGAAGUGGCAUAUCCUAACGAUGAAGAAGAUCUAGUUGAUUUUCUCAAUCGCUGCAAAAUCACCAACACCAAUGCUAUGUUUUGUCCUAGAUGCAGCGCAGUCUUCGAUAAAGAAGCCGCAAAAGCAAUUGAGAGCUUUCAACGACAGACAAAGAGCAAAGGCAGAUGGAAGGACAACCGCCCUAACUUUAGUUUUAACAAAAGGGGUGUCCCAUACAAGAAUAAUUUUGCGGGAGAUUCUCGAGGGAAGAAUUGGAGGAGAACUUUCAGCCCAUCCGCAAGGUCCCCCAUUGACACUUGGGUUUUUUCAAGGGGCAAGAAAUCUGGGUACUCCGCUCCCCCAACAAAAUGGGUGAAGAGAAAGCUCCCUGCCCCUCGACAGGAGGUGCCAGAAGUGCCUAGUAGAUACGCCUACAAUAACAACUACAAAGGUAAACAGCCUAUGACGAGAACUCAAUGGCGCAGAUACCAGCGCAAGAAAAAAGCAAUUGCUUUACAGGACAUUACCAAUGUUGACAAAGGGAAAGGGAAAUAAGAGGCUGUUUUCAAAAUGGUUAAAAAGCCAGCCAUGGAAAGAAUCUCCCCUCCCUUAUCAAUUUUGAAGAGAGGUCAUCCUAAGGAGGAUGAAGAAAUGACUUCGAAUUUCACUGGAUCUGACCCAGUCUCGAUAUAGUGUGCAAUGUGGUGUCAGUUUUUCCUGUGGAAUACGACGUUCAGUCGGAAGUUAAUGAAGUUGAAAGUGACUUCAUCGACAAAAUGGCCAUCCAUAAGCCAUUAUGCUAUUAUGUCAUGAACAAUGGCUGUGUUGAAGAGCAGCAUGCCGUUUUUGAAAGACCAGAUGCUUUGAUGAAACUGCAUCUUAAGCCUUUGUUUAUUCAAGCCAAGAUAAAUGGCGUGGGAGUGAAUAAGGUGUUAGUUGAUGGUGGAGCCACCGUUAAUCUGCUCCAUCAGUAAUUUUUGGGGAAGAUUGGACUCUUUGAUUCCGAUUUAAAACCUCACAAUGUUAUCCUCACUAACUAUGAAGGUACAUCAGGGAAUUCUCUUGGUGCUAUCGAAUUGGAGUUAGUGGUGGGCAGCGUAAGCAGAAUGACAAUGUUUAUGGUAGUCCCAUCAAAGGCAAAUUUUAACGUGCUAUUAGGUAGAGAAUGGAUACAUGGUGUAGGCAUAGUCCCUUCCACUGUGCACCAAAGGAUUGCCAUAUGGAAAGAUGAUGGACUAGCUGAAAAUGUUGAAGCUGACCAAAGUUAUUUCUUGGUUGAGGUGAAUACCAUCACCAAGAAGAAUUUCGAUAAGCAACUAGCGCACAUAACUCCAGUCAUGUCUCCAGGACCCAAAUGUAUGAUUUCAGAUGAUGAGAUGUAUUCCAUGAAACUUCAUCCAAGGGCUGGAUUUGUGUGGGAAAAAGAAUUUAGGGAGCAUGAUUAUGUGAUGGUCAAUCAAAAUCAGAAAAUGAGGAUAUGCUCAGGACAAGAAAUUCUACAUACCAAAAGGUUGCUGACAGCCUUACACCAGGUUUUCCUAAGUAUGCUGCCCCGCCAACUGGGUGGGAUGCCGAAGAAUAGACCAUGACUGAGCCCAAUAUUUGGGAGAAAAUUACGGCCUACGUGGCCGAAAAUAAGUUUAAAACAACUAAAGAGGCCGAAAACUUGCGACAAGAGGUGAUCGAGAGUUUGACGGAAGAGUCUCUAGAUGAUAUCAUCGAAGACCAAAUUUUGGACUGUAUCUAUGAUGACGAACUGUUGGGUUUCGAAGAAGAUCCCAUGAGAUCUACGAAUAAAAUGAGAGCACAAGAUCCCCUCGAAGAAAUAGAUUUGGGGAAUGGCACUAUUAAAAGACCUACUUAUAUAAGUGCAAAGAUUCCCAGAGAAUUUAAAGAUCAAAUUGCAGAGCUGUUGAAAGAAUACAAAGAUUGCUUUGCAUGGGAUUACGAUGAGAUGCCUGGACUAAACAUGAAAGUGGUAGAAUUGAAGUUACCAAUUCGACCAGACAAAAAGCAGUGAAACAAAUUCCUCGUAGGUUUGCCCCGCAAAUCUUACCAAAGAUUAAAGAAGAAAUCGAAAGACUCCUGAAAUGCGGCUUCAUCAGGCCUGCAAGGUAUGUAGAUUGGCAAGCAAAUGUAGUCCCUGUUAAAAAGAAAAAUGGAACCAUAAGGGUAUGUAUAGACUUUAGAGAUUUAAAUCUCGCUACCCCUAAAGACGAAUACCCAAUCCCUGUGGCAGAAAUGCUGGUAGAUUCAGCGGCGGGUUUCGAAUACUUGAGUAUGCUAGAUGGAUAUUCAGAUUAUAAUCAAAUCUUCAUUGCUGAAGAAGACAUCGCUAAGACCACAUUUCGAUGUCCGAGGGCAUUAGGGUGCUAUGAAUGGUUAGUAAUGCCAUUUGGUCUAAAAAAUGCUGGUGCUACGUACCAGAGAGCGAUGAAUUUAAUGUUUCAUGAUUUCAUAGAAGAUUUUAUGCAAAUUUAUAUUGAUGAUAUUGUGGUAAAAUCUUCUUCAGAGGAGAAACACUUGGGACAUUUACGCCGAUCUUUUGGAAGGAUGAGGCAAUAUAGACUGAAAAUGAAUCCAUUAAAAUGUGCAUUUGGGGUUUGUACAGGUGAUUUUUUAGGUUUCGUGGUUCAUAAAAAAAGGAAUCGAAAUCAACCAGAACAAAACCAAGGCAAUAAUUGAGACUCAAGCUCCUUCUACGAAGAAAGAGUUACAGUCGUUAUUAGGAAAAAUCAACUUUCUUAGGAGAUUUAUAUCGAAUCUAAGUGGCAAGACACAAGCUUUCUCGCCAGUACUCCGAUUGAAGAAAGAAGAUACUUUUAAAUGGGAGCCAGAGCACCAAAAGGCCUUUGAUGAAAUCAAGUCAUAUUUGAUAUGUUGGAAUAAGCCCUAAUAGCCAAUCUAUAUUGAUUGGGUUUGGUUUUGUAUCAUGAUAUUGAUAUAAAUAUUGUUAUCUGGAUUUUGGGGUGUCAAGUCAUUAAUUAGGCUUGAACCUUUCAAUCUUUGAUAUUCUCUAUUUUUUCUUGGGAAGGGGAAAAUUGAGAAAAGCCUUUGAAACUCUAAGUUCGGGGGUCGUUUUCGUUACGGGAAGGUGUUAAGCAUCCGGAACGACUAUAGUAUUCUAUAGGAACCGUUUUCCUAAGUUUAUGACUACGCUUUAUUUUUAUGCUUAUUUAUGGAAAAGAAAAUUUAUUUAGUUUAAGAACGGAGGGAGGAAAAUGUUUGAGAUUUUAUUUUAUUGGACUUGGAGAGGUUUUGACCUCUUGCCUACAUACCCUUUUAAGGGAUCAAAAUUCCAUGUAGUUCUCUCUCAAAAAAUUGUUUUUGUGUGUUUGAUUGAUUUUAAGUUUUGCAAAUGGUUUUGAAGAAGAGAAAGAGGCCGUAAAGGCAUGAGACGAGACAAUAGUGAAUGGUUGGUUCAAUUAUUAAAGAAAGAGUGUCUAAGUAGAAAUUAAGAUUCCUUGAAGUUUUGAUUAAGAAAAUAAAGGAAAAUACAAUGGAGUGUUGACUCCAAGGUUUAUUAGAGAAAAAAAAGUUUGAGUUAUGGAGUUAUUUCCGGGAAAAUGAUAUUUUUUCUAAGCAUUGCGUUUCCUAAACAUACAUCUAAGCGGUAAACAUACAACGUGUGUGCGUGUCGGUGCUCGUGUCGGUGUACAUCAUUAUAGAGAGUCCAUUGUCCUUUACACUUUGCCCUAGUUUACAUGCUAUGGUCUUGUAAGAAAUUAAAAGGAAAUUAAACUACCUAGACUAUUACAUGUCCACUUAACAUAAGAAUGAAUAGGAAUGAAAUGAUGAAAUGCUAUAAAAUGGAUGAGACAUAGAACAAAAAUGGUUAGUAAAAUAAGGCAUGAAAAUAUGGCAAGGAGAGCAAACAAAGGAAUAUAGGAUAAACGGUAAAAUAACGACGAUAACCACAAUACAAAGAGAAAUGCAAUAGUUGCAAGGCAAGAAAUUAACAAAUCAUGUCGAAAACAGCGAAACACACACACAAAAAGCGACAUUCUCAUCAUGAAAUUGCACAUCGGACAUUCAUACCAUAGAUCAAGAUAUCACGAACGGAAAAACGAGAAAUUGCAUGAAAUUCAACUAAAGAGAAAAAGUAAUCAAGAAAGCAACACAUAUGUUUUUUUAUCAAUUUUAUAACAUGUAAAACAUCACAAAAAAGUAAAAAAUGUAUCAAGAAACACAUAGAAAUUUUUUUAGGAAUUUUUACGAGAAAAUUAGAACGAACAGUGGUUCAAACAGCAAGAAAACACGGUGUGAAUAGCAAGAAAACAACAAAAACGCAGCUAAACCAAAGGGAAUAGGCCCAAGCCCAAACCUAAGGGAUCCGAACGCACAGGAACCACAGGAUUGAUCCAGGGGAUCAAACCCUCGAUCAAACGGCCAGGAUUGAAGGGAAAUGGACCGGUCCGGUUCACUGGCCUAUACAAGGAGGGGAACACCGGUUUAUUUCAUUUGCUAUUGUCCUUUAUUUCUCUAACUUCUCACUUCUCUCAUCUCUCUCUGACUUCCUCUGUCGGACUCAUGAACGAAAGGCUGGGGAAGAUGAAGAUCUGGCCGGAACCUUCAUAGGUCCGCCGGAAUCUUCAUCUUCUCCGGUGAGAUCUCCAGUUUCCAGCAACCUCUAACCUCACCAGAACUUCAAAAUUUUUACGUCUUUCUACUCGCCUCUAAACCCUAAACACGAAUCUAACACUGAUUUUCACAAGCAAGGCUUGAAAUAACGUAGAUCUAGAAUUUUCAUACGGUUUUGAAAAUUAUUUUUAGGUUUUUUCAACUUUUUGAAUGUAACCGUUCAAACUCCUACAGAUCUACAUAGUUUCGUCUUUGUUACUGUUCUUGAGAAAGAAAGAUGAAGUUUGAGUUUUACCUGAGUUUUUAAUCGGAGAUUUCACGAGAUUCUUCGGAAAAACUUGAUUCUUGGCUCUGUUUUGUUGAUUUUGCUUGGAAACCGAAAAUAAAUCGGUGUCUUCACCGGUUCACUUUCUUCAUUUUCUUCGCCGGUUUGAAACUCUUUUCCUUUUCUUCUUCUUCUUCUCCCUGUGAUCGGUGCUUGAGUUUCUCACCUCCGGUGAGGAAUUCGCGCCUGGAAAUGCAGGGACUUCAGUUCAGUGAUGAAGAUUCAUCCAUGAAUCUCUGAGAACUGAUGCGAUUUCAGUGAAUUUGUUGAUGAAAUUUGGUUCUGAAAGUUAGGGUUUGUGAAUUGUUCUUGGUGGAUUUUCUGUUUUGAUCCUAACUGCCAAGAGAGAGAAGUUUUUCACGUGUUUGUGAUGUGGCACUGGUUGAAUGGGUCUCUGUGUGGAUUUCUCUGACACUGUGCACUAUUUAUAAGCUGCCACUUGUACUUGAGAUCCAAUGAAAUGGUGACACCUGGGCAUGUAUGAAAAAUGGCUCGGCCUUGGACUUGUUGUUACCUAAGGACCGUUCUGCAAAAAAUGUAAAAUUGAGGACUAAACUGCAAUUAAUAAUAAUGGACUAAAAUGCAAAUUUAAAAAGCUUUGGACUAAAGUGCAAUUUUGGAAACUUGCUUGAGGGACCAGAAUGCAAUUAAAAAUAAAAUUGAAUUAAAAUUGGUAAAUUGGAAAAAAAAAGUAAAGUGAAACCUAAAAUAAAACCAACAAAGGACUAAAACGAACCAAUUACAACAAUGAUGUAUUUUAAAAUACCUCUCUAUCGAAUUUUUGACGGGAAAAGACUUAAAUGCCCCUAGGGACUAAGCUGACUCAAACUGACUCAGACACAAUUUUGAAAUGGUUUUUAAACAAAGACUCAACGAUGAUUUGUAAAACAAGCCGAAAAGACUCAGAGACUAACACAGGGACUAAAAUGGGUUCCACUGCAGGAAAUGACCAAAAUACCCCUUUUGUAUGAUUUUUGAAAUAACAUGCAGGAAAAGCAAUUCAAUGAUUCAGAGAGUUUUCAAAUGACUUGUAAUGUAAGAAAGACACUUUGGGAUGAUCCUAUGCAAGAAAAACACAGGCAAAACCAUGAUUUAAAAAUACCUUGAGACAGAGACAGUAAAAUAUGCAGAUGAAAAUAAAGUGAAGAUUCAAAGUAAAACAACAGUAAAUUGACAAUUAUCAGUGGUAGAAAAGAAAUUUAAACGAGUAUUUUUAGGUCCAAAAUCAAGGUAUAACAGCUGCCCCUAUUUAAGUUUCUUUGUCCGGAGGGUCAAGAGACGGAGUCCUUGGCUUGACGGGACGAAGAUACUUAAAUACUAACAUUUGCACUGUGUUUGGACGUAAAAAUACGCUCGUACACUUUCGAAUAUCAUGAAUGCCAUGCAACAUUUGGAUUAUGAAUGCAAGACAAACGAGAGUUGGAUUUAAAGUAUGUCGUAUCCAUUGCGGGAUUGGUAGACAUUGGCAGGAUAGCAGAUGACAGGGUAGACAGGUCACAAAAAACAAACUGACAGGUACAAGCUGCUCUUGGAUUGAGCUGGGCACUCGACCAGGAAUAAAGGCAGACAGACAGGUGCGAGUCGUUCUUGGAUGCGAACUGGUUACUCGACUGGGGACAUGGAAAAGCAGACAGGUACGAGUUGUUCUUGGAUUCGAACUGGUCACUCGACCGAAAACAACGGCAAAUAGACAGGUGCGAGCUUGUUCUUGGAUGCGAACUGGUUACUCCACCGGAGACAUAAACAAACAGACAGGUGCAAGCUGUUCUUGGACUUGAACUAGCCACUUGACCGAACAGAAACAAAUAGACAGGUACAAGGUGUUCUUGGACUUGAACUAGCCACUUGACCAAACAGAAACACAUUCAUUGGGGAUUAGUUUUUGGCAAAAUAUAAAUUGAAAUUGACUUGACAUUGACAUAUCCUAGAGAUGGGCCAAUGGCACUGGCUCACCAGGUCUUGACAGAGAAUUUGACAUAGGUAUCGAAUCGAGACUGUAAUUGACAUUGGAAAUGCAACAUGUAUGGGUGGUAUAAUAGUUUUAUUAAAUGUAUGGGCACGUAAUAUGCAUGAUUAUGCAUGUAUGAAUGCUUGUAAUGCAUGACUGUUGGCAGUUUGUAGACACAGUUUCGCAGAGACAGACAAGACAUUGGAAUAUUGGGCACGUAGUGGCUCGUGCUAUAUCACACAUUCUUGGAAAUCCUCUUUGGAUAUAACGUCGUUGGGAGACGUAUCGGGACCAUGGCUGAGGGCAGGUAGCUAUGCAACUUGCUGGGGAUAGAAUCUCGGAAGACUCUGCUGGAGAUAAUGCCGUCAUCGCUGGGCAUUUAAGUGUUGGGUGUACUGUGGAUGUUGCAUCUGUGGUCAAUGCUUUUUGCAUGUCAUUUUCUCAAUUUUUCAUUUUUCAUUGCAUCCCAUUUUUGCCUGGAUCGCCCUUUCGGGUUUUCGAUCCACCGGGGAAAUAAAUUCUUUUCAUUGCCCCAUUUUUGGCUGAACUGCCCUUUCGGGUUGUCAAUCCAGCGGGGUGCUCAUUUUUGCCUAAGUCGCCCUUUCGGGUUUUCAACUUAGCGAGCCUAUUCAUUUUCAUGCAUUUUCAUUCUGUUUUUUCAUUCUUGCCAUUGGCCACAGACUAUCCUAGGGAAGAGCCUGCUUGUAACACAUAUUGAAAUAGACAUCGACAUACGCUCGCUCAUGCACGUUUCGUUUGAAUGUACCUUGUUGCUCAUGCUUGCUUUCAAAACAGACAAAAACUUUUUUAUUUUCAAGAAGUUUGUUUCAAGCAUUGUCAUUAUCAAAAUAGAAAGAAAAUGUUUUUUUGUACAUAGCUUUGAAAGUAGAAAGAAAGUAGAGUUUCAAACAAAAGCCUAGGCUCGAAUUGAUGUAUAAGAGUGGUGGUCAGCCGAAGGCGUGACUCCACGGAUUUACAAAGCUUGGAAAAUGGCAAUUUUAUUGGUUGGUGGUACAUUGAACACGGCAACCACUACAUUUCCUAGAAACUUUGAAUUCGCAAACACAAAAGCUUCUGAUGAGAUGGUCAUUAACAGCUGCAGAUGCCCCAAGGGGAUGGUGGUUUGCCAGAUACAGUCAUUUGUCUUUUCAUUUCAAUCUCAUUUUUGCAUGAACCGCCAUUUCGGGUUUUCGGCUCAUCGAGACGCUCAUUCUUGCCUAAGUUGCGUACAAUCUCAGCGAGCUUUUUUCAUUUUUUUUUUGUCCCUUAUUUUGCCUGGAUCGCCAGUUCGGGUUUUCGACCCACCGGGAAGCGCGUUUUUGCCAAGGCCGCCCUUUCGGGUUUUCGACCUUCCACGCUGUUCUUUUCAUACAUCUAAACAAACAAUUUCUUGACUAUAUCGGCAUUCACAGGGUUUGGAAGUUCAACACCAUCCAUAUGUGUGAGAAUUAAAGCACCGCUGGAGAAGGCCUUCUUGACGACGUAAGGACCUUCAUAGUUAGGUGUCCACUUACCCCUUCGGUCGGGUUGCUGGCUUAUCCUUCUUUUCAACAUGAGUUCACCCUCUUUGAAUUCCCGAGGACGGACUUUCUUGUCAAAAAUGGUUUUCAUUCUUGCUUGAUACGACCGCCCACGAACCAUGGCAUUCAUACGCUUUUCUUCAAUCAAGUUCAACUGAUCAUACCUGUUUUGGCACCAUUCAGCCUCGAAUAACUUCGCUUCCAUGAUUACACGAAGAGAUGGGAUUUCCACUUCUAACGGGAGAACUGCCUCCAUACCAUAUACCAGAGAGAAGGGGGUUGCCCCGAUUGAACUACGCACUGUGGUACGGUAACCAUGUAGAGCAUAGGGUAGCAUCUCAUGCCAGUCCUUGUAACUAGUAACCAUCUUCUGAAUAAUCUUCUUGAUAUUCUUGUUGGCGGCUUCAACUGCACCAUUCAUCUGAGGCCUAUAAGGAGAAGAGUUAUGAUGCUCAAUUUUGAAUUCUUCACAUAGAGCUUGCACUACGUCAUUAUUCAGAUUAGUACCAUUGUCAGUAAUGAUCUUGCUGGGAACACCAUAUCGACAGAUGAUGUUGUUCUUGAUGAACUUAGCUACCACUUGCUUGGUCACAUUGGCAUAGGAUGCAGCUUUAACCCAUUUGGUGAAGUAGUCAAUUGCCACUAAGACGAAACGAUGACCGUUUGAAGCCUUCGGUUCAAUUCUUCCAAUCAUGUCGAUGCCCCACAUUGAGAACGGCCAUGGGGUUGAAAUAACAUUGAGCGCGUGCGGAGGCACAUGAAUUUUAUCAGCAUAGAUUUGACAUUUGUGGCACUUUCUGGCGUGUUGGUAGCAAUCAUGCUCCAUGGUCAUCCAGUAGUAACCGGCUCGUAACAACUUCCUUGACAUAGUAUGCCCUGUAGCAUGGGUCCCGAAGGUACCGUCAUGUACGUCAUGCAUUAAUUGCUCUGCCUCAUGCUCAUCAACACAUCUUAACAAUACCAUGUCGUAGUUUCUUUUGUACAAAAUGUCCCCAUCUAACAAGAACCUACUAGCCAAUCUUCUCAGAGUCUUCUUGUCUUUGUUGGAAGCACCCGGUGGAUACUCACGGCUUAGCAAGAACUGCUUGAUGUCGUAAUACCAGGGUUUAUUGUCAACCACAUUUUCACCAGUCUGAUCGAUCACAUCCCCAAUAGCGAACACAUGCGAAGGUCUUUCAAGGCGUUGCACUUUGAUUAUUGGCACAUCAUUCCAAUGGUUUACUCGAAACAUAGAGGAUAGAGUAGCAAGAGCAUCAGCCAUUUGGUUCUCAUCACGAGGGAUAUGGUGUAAUUCAACCUUUGUGAAAUAUGACAACAGACGGCUCACAUAAUCACGGUAAGGAACCAGCUUGUCAUGAUGGGUCAUCCAUUCACCCUUUAUCUGGUUAAUAACAAGUGCAGAAUCUCCAUAGAUGUCGAGGUGUUUGAUUCUCAUGUCAAUUGCUCCCACAAUCCCCAAGAUACAUGCUUCGUACUCAGCCAUGUUAUUUGUACAGUCGAAUAGAAUCCGGGCGGUAAAAGGGAUGUGAUGCCCCUGCGGGGAUACAAUGACUGCUCCGAUUCCUUUGCCAUAAGCGCUGACAGCACCAUCGAAGACUAAUCCCCAUUUGCUAUUAGGAUCUGGUCUUUCACCAAUCAACGGUUCUUCGCAGUCUUUUGAUUUCAAAUACAUGAUCUCCUCAUCGGGGAAAUCGAACUUAGUCGGCUGGUACUCAUCAAGAGGUUGAUAGGCAAGGUGAUCAGCAAGAAUGCUACCUUUGAUUGCCUUUUGAGUUUUGAACACAAUAUCAUAUUCAGACAAGAGCAUUUGCCAACGCGCAAUUUUUCCAGUAACAUCAGCUUUCUCAAAGAUAUACUUGAUUGGAUCCAUCCUGGAUAUCAACCAAGUUGUAUGAUUCAUCAAAUAGUGGUGCCCAAGCUAGAGCACAACAAGUCUUCUCAAGCAUCGUAUAUUGGGCUUCGCAGUCGGUAAAGUUCUUGCUCAGAUAGUAGAUAGCAUGCUCUUUCUUUCCAGUCUCGUCUUGUUGACCGAGUACACAUCCCAUGGAUUCAUCUAACACUGUCAAGUACAUAAUCAAGGGCCUUCCUUCCACUGGCGGGACAAGGAUAGGUGGUUCCAGCAGAUAAUCUUUGAUGCUAUCAAAAGCUUCCUGGCAUUCAUUAUUCCACACAAUAGGUUGAUUCUUUCUGAGUAAUUUGAAAAUUGGCCCGCAGGUUGCGGUCAUAUCAGAUAUGAAUCGGGAGAUGUAAUUCAAACGCCCGAGGAAACCUCGGACUUGCUUUUCGGUCUGUGGUGCCGGCAUCUCUCUGAUGGCCCGGAAUUUGUCAAGAUCGACUUCAAUGCCCUUUUGGCUAACAAUGAAGCCUAGCAGUUUUCCGGAUCUGACACCGAACGUACACUUGUUGGGGUUCAGCCGAAGCUUGUACUUUCUCAACCUUUCUAACAUUUUUGUCAAAUACUCAACAUGCUGUUCCUCAUCUUUUGACUUCACAAUCAUAUCGUCCACGUAUACUUCAACUUGUUUAUGAAUCAUAUCAUGAAAUAAAGUAGUCAUUCCUCUUUGAUAGGUAGCGCUCGCAUUUAUCAGGCCGAACGGCAUUGCUUUGCAACAGAAGGUGCCCCAUGGGGUAAUGAACGAUGUCUUUUCCCUGUCUUCAGGUGACAUUUUGAUCUGGUUAUAACCGGAGAAGCCGUCCAUGAAGGAGAACACCUUGGACUGAGCAGUGUCAUCGACAAGCACAUCAAUGUGAGGCAAAGGGAAAUUGUCUUUGAGACUAGCCUUAUUCAAAUCCCUGUAAUCAACACACAUCCGAACUUUCCCAUCUUUCUUUGGCACGGGUACAAUGUUGGCAACCCAUUUAGGAUACUCGACUGUCAUGAGAAAACCCGCAUCAAUCUAUUUUUGAACCUCAUUCUUAAUCUUGAGAGCCAUAUCUGGACGAGUCCUUCUCAAUUUCUGUCUAACGGGAGGGAUUCAGGCUUUGUCGGUAUCCGAUGUUCCACAAUCUUAGGAUCUAGACCCGACAUAUCUUCGUAUGACCAUGCAAAAAUAUCCGGAUACUCUCGGAGAAGUUGGAAGAUCUUCUUUUUAACCCUCUUCUCAAGAGCAGCACCGACCUUGAUCUCUCGCUUGUUUUCUUUGGUACCCAAGUUGAUGAUCUCGAUCUCUUCUUGGUGAGGCUGAAUGGCUUUUCCCUCUUGUUCAAGCAGUCGAGUGAUCUCAUAUGGUAUAUCAUCAUCCUCCUCAUCUUCGGCUUCGUAUACAGGGAAUUCAAAAUUUGGAGGAACCGUAGGGUUACUAUGUUCAACAGGUUUAUUAUGGUUCAAACUGCAUAAAAUGGUUGAAUGAUUUUAGAAAAGGUUUUUUUUUUUUUUUGUAAUUAAUAAGAAAAAUAAAGAUGUUUUGGUUUUUUCUGGCAUUACCAUUAUUUCCAAGGAAAAAAGCACUAAAAGUAAAAAGCCGUGAAAGAAACGACGAUUUUUAUUAAUAACGGCGAUGCCGAAACAAACACGCCCUUUCAGAAAUAUCACUCUCGCUUCGGGAAGAGCGAGAGGAUUGUUAUUUUGAAAAACAAAACACUUAAGCAACAAGACACAUUACUCAGAAUUAUGCAUGAUUGAAGGAAUGUUGAUGGCAUCCCAAUUUCUCGCAAUGCCUCCUGGUAUAACAAACAUAGGCCCAGGACUACAUUCAGUUGCAUCUUCAGUAAUUGCAUUGACAAACCCAGCACUGUAGAAGGUUCCUGUGGAGACUCCUGAAGUUGGGGAAUAUCCGAGACCCUCUCUGUGCUUAUUCUCAAGGAGUUGUAUUAACUUGCCCCAGCCGGUAGCUUGACCUUCUAGGACAGCCCUCUGAGCAUCCUUCAAAGAGGCCAUAGCAGCUCCAGCCCUCUUGGGCUCCGUACCUUCGAUAGUCAAACCCUGAAAAGCGGUUCCUUCUGCAGACCCUGCUUCAAUGCAAGAGAAAGAUGAUAGCUGGCUAACCAAAUAUGCCUCCUCUCCAUGGACUGUAACGAGCUUUCCAUUCUUUACAAACUUUAACUUUUGGUGCAGGGUAGAGGUCACUGCCCCAGCGUCAUGUAUCCACGGUCUUCCUAGGAGACAGCUAUAAGAAGCAUUGAUGUCCAUGACCUGGAACGUGAUUAGAAAGGUUUCGGGACCGAUAGUUAUUGGCAGAUCUAUCUCCCCAAGAACGUUCUUACGGGAUCCGUCGAAGGCUUUAACCAAAAAGGUACUCCUUCUCAAAGGAGUUCCCCGAUAGCUCAACUGAUCCAGAGUCGAUUUAGGCAUUACAUUCAAGGACGAGCCAGUGUCCACCAGUACAUUCGAUAGCAUGUCAGAUUUGCAAUUCAUAGAGAUGUGUAGAGCCAGAUUGUGGUAUUUCCCUGCUUCAGGAAGCUCAUCCUCGCCAAACCACAGAUUAUUGCAAGCAGUGAUAUUCCCCACUAUGCUGCCGAAGUGGUCCACAGUGACCUCGUGGUCCACAUAGGCUUGUUCUAGUACUUUCAAAAGGGUGUUUCUGUGAGCCGCGGAACUCAGAAGUAAAGACAAGAUGGAUAUCUUUGACGGAGUUUGUAACAGCUGAUCCACGAUCUUGUAGUCACUUCUCUUGAUUAACCUCAAAAUCUCAUCUAAGUUGGAAUCCUCGAUAGACUGGCCUGGCCGGGAAACAUCUGGUGGAGGCACUUUAUCACUGGGUAUAGCGGUAGGUAUAGCGGUCUUCUUUGGGAACAGCGGCGGGCGGACUUUUCCGCUCCUCAGUGUUGUAGUCUCCUCGGCAAUGUUUCUUAUCACGGUUGAGGACGCCAGGGGCACCUCUACUCCAUUUUCAAUCGUGGUGGCAUUGUACUUGUAAGGAAUAGCCUUUGUAGAAGUGUAAGGUACUGGUCCAAGCAGUCUUAUCACUAGAGGCUCGAUACUCCCUUUUGGAGGCAUACUCUUGGCAGGCGGAUCAUGAAAGACUGGCACAAUCACACAAAUGUCGCUGAUAGUCAGAUAAUUGUCGUUCAUCAGGCUCUGGAUAUCAUUCUGAACAACGUAGCAACCCCAAGGAUUAUGGCGGCAUUCUGGACAAUUGGCAUGAUCAUGGUCAAACAAGGAGGCUUGGCAUAGCUUGAUGUGUAGCGGUACCAGAGGAGUUGCAACAUUACGAACGUCAAGACUGGGAACUUCUUCAUGAGUCUCGAUCAUGUUCACAGCAGCGUGAUUCGGAAGAGGAUUGUCAAGAACAUGAGGGACAUUGUUCUCAAAAGUUAACUUUCCCUGGUCAAUGAGCUUCUUUACAAUGUACUUCAAAGCGUAACAUCCUUCAACAUCAUGGCCCAGAGCACCUUGAUGGAAAUCGCACUUGAGGUCAGAACGGAACCUGGGAGGCAACGGGUUAGGUGGAGGCUUUCCCUGCCUGGUUGUGCAGUGCCCUUUGAGAAGCAAAGUCGGGAGCAGCUCGGCGUACAGCAUUGGUAUCGGAGGAAAGGUAGGUCUGGUUUGUUGCUGCUGCUGUUGAGCCAACGGCUGUUGCUGCAUUUGCUGAGCAAUGGCAUUGACGGGUACCUGAGGUUGACCCGGCGAUGGCGGAUACUGGUGAUAAAAUGGUGGGAAGAAAGGAUGCUGAGAGUAUUGCAUGUACUGAUACGGCGGAGGUAGCUGAGCAGCAUUGAUGGGGGCAACAGUAGCCAUGGAUUGACUGGUUCCGGCAGAUACCAUCCCUACUUCUGUCUCUUUCUUCUUAUGAUGACCAUUGCCAUACUUCCUUGAUGCAUUUGCAGAGGAUUCACAUUUUUCAAACACAAUAAUGCCAUCUCUGACAGCCUCUUCUAAGCGGGUUCCCAUGGUGACCAUCUCAGAGAAGUCACUUGGAGCAGCGAUGAUCAUUCUUUCGACAUAAUCCUUUUUCAAAGUCUUCAGGAAUGUCUGAGUCAUCUCCUCUUCAUUAAGAGUAGGAGUAACACGGGCAGCCGCCCCCCUCCAUCUCUGUGCAUACUCGCGGAAGCUUUCAUCUUUCUUCUAGCAAAGGGACCUAAGGAAUUCCCUGUUUGGUUUCAGUCUGGUGUUGAACCCAUAGUGGCUUUUGAAAGCAGCAGCCAAUUCAUCAAAAGUGUGAAUGUCGUCUCGGCUUAAGCUGGUAUACCAUUCUGCAGCAUCUUCCAUUAGACUAUCCUGAAAGCAGUGGAUCAUGAGUGAAUCAUUGUCUAAGUAGUUAGCCAUCUUCCGGACAUAUUUGAUGAUGGGAUUCUGUGGACAAGUUAGCCCAUUGUAUCGGUCGAAAUCCGGAACCUUGAACUUCUUAGGGACAUCCACCUUCGGUACCAAGCAGAGAUCAUGAGUCUUAACAGUAUCGCUACUUCCCCGAUUAGCUUUGAUUUCCCGACGGAGUUCUUUAGCAAGUUCCUCCAUCCUUUCUUCCAUUGUUUUAAUCACGAGGAUGCUUCCGCGAUGCGCGUUGAUGUUAACACCUUGAGAUAUGGCAUGCACAAUGGGCUCAGUGACAGUGGCCGUUGUCUGAGGCAAGGUGGUAUUGAUAGAGACAGGGUUCGUCGCAGGAAUCUGGCCAUUAUUGAUAGUACCAGAAACGCCAGCUGCAGUAUUAGGAGAGUAAUAUGGUGACAGUCCAUAAGGAAACCCGUUUGGCAUAGCAAAUUGAGCGUUGGGAGAUGUAGUUGGGAUCACACCUGUAGAUGCCGGUAUGGAUGUGGCCGGUUGUUCCUGGGCGGCUAGCAGAGCAGUCAUGGUGUCAUUGGCCUUAGCCAAUUCUUCCCUCAAAGAAGCUAACUCGGUACGGAGCUGAGCAUUUUCUUCUUCCAUGGCUACCUUAUUCCUUCUUCUGUAUGAUCUAGUCUGGUGAACUCUGGUAGGUUGAUAAAUCUUUCGGGCACGAGCCACCUUUCAAACUGUGGCAGAAGAACCAGGAGGCAAUGAGCACUUGGAAGCUUUUUGUGACCGAUCAAUGAUGCAUAUGAUGCAUGAUAUGUACAAAUGCAGAUGCAAAAAUGACUCUUUUUUGUCAUCGAAGGGUUUUAGACAAAUUAGAAACUUUGUAAACAUUAUUUAACGAGCAAAGCAAUACGAAGUUUUACAAGGUAAAUCCCUUUAAAGUGCUAAGCCAAGGGCAGACUUUGAAAUUUUAACAAUACAGGCAAAUAAGACUCUCAAGCAUAGGAAGCGGUGGGAUGGUCGUCGGACACGGACUCUGAAUCCGAACCGCAGUAUCUAGCAUAGAAAUCACGUCGUCCUCUAGCUCUCUUGGGGUCCCGCAUGAGCAACUUAUCUUUCUCCUCAAGUUCCUUCCGGACUUUAGCUAACUCUCUUUUCAACGUCAGAUUUUCAUGAGUCUUCUGCUCAUCCUUACCAUCCAAAGUCAUAAUCAGAUUCUCAGCCUUAUUGUAUCGAGCUUUCUGUAACACCCCGUUUUCCCAAUAUACAAAUUUCUUAAACAUUUAUCAGAGUAAAACCAUAAACGGGAUAUCACAUAGAAACGUAAUCCAAAGACAGUUAAGUAAUAAUUUAACCUUCACAAAAUAUCUUUAACAUAGCAGCGGAAAAUCAUAAACAUAUAUCAUAAACGUUUUGGCACGCAGGCCCAACAAGUAUCUCAAAAGAGUUUAUCAAAGCAUAAUUUAUCAUGGCAGUUCACGUAAAAGAAUGAAGCAUGUUAUAGUAUUAACCCCAUCCCGUUACGUAUCAGAGCGACCUAGACGACACAGUGGGGCAAGGCCACUCACAGAAGCAACUGCACACUAAGCACGAUCACCUGCAAGUUACCCAUACGAAGGGCAACAUUUUCAAGCAGAAGGGGUGAGAUUUCAUAAUAAAAUAACAUUAAUCAAUGUAAUUGCGAAUCAUAAAUUAACAUUAUAAUCAUUUCUUUAUUAACUUUGCAUAAAUGCUAAACAGUUAUCACGUAAUCAUAUAUCCAAUCAUUAUAAACAACAUAACAUAAUCAAUGAACACUUAUCACGUAAUCACAUAUCCAUUCAUCAUCAACAAGGCAUCUUAAUCAUGACAAUGUGACAAUGCUCCUAGACUCCUUAUAUGCAUGUGGUACCAAUCGUCAUCAUAAGUAUUAAUAUACUUUAAUCGUGCGGAGGACAAAGCUCCUAUAAAACGUGCGGAGGACAAAGCUCCUAAUUUUCGUGGUGAGGACAAAGCUCAAUGAUAUGCUAUGCAUGGACACAUAUGAACAAAACAACGUAAUCGACUUAUCAACAUGCAUCCAAUAAUUUGGAGCUAAACUUCAUCAUAUACUUAUGCACUUAGUUAAACAACGGAAGCAGCAUAAACAAGUCACAUAUCAAGAUGAUAUCAUUAUAUCAAUAGCACAUAAAUUGCAUUAUUAUCACAUCUUCUCAUUUUGCAUGAAUAUACAAUACCAUAGUUCUUAUCCAAUUAAUAUUAAUAUAACUUAAACAACUCUACAGUCUGCAUUAAACAACAUCACUAGGUCUCAUUACCAGUUAGGGGUUCACUCUUGAUCAACAAGUGCGACACAGAUCGCACAAACACAUAAUCAAGUUCAUCCUGGUUGUACUCGCGAGGCGAGAGCUCUUACUCGCCAUGGCGAGUACCCCUCAACUCCCAAACUAAGGUUGUUCUGGGUUCCCUCUGAUCCUACAUUCAUUCCUAAUCAAUACUAGGUAUGUUCAGGUACUCAAGGGUAUACAAGGUUCAACUAAAAAGGUCGAAACACGAAACAUGACAUGCUCUCUGCCUGAGCUCGCGAGGCGAGAAAGGGUUGCUCGCCAUGGCGAGUUGGACCAAACAACUCGCGAGGCGAAGGAAAGGGGGCUCGCGUGGCGAGCGAUGAAGUUCAUCACUCGCCGUGGCGAGCGAUGAACAGAAGCACGGGCAGACUAGGGUUUUUCUCAAAAAUCCAACACACAACAUGGUUCAAAGCCUAAUUUUGAUUCCAGAAUUCAUCCUAAACAUAUUCUAAGGUUAAAGGACGGUUUCUACAUCAAUCUAAACAAGUUUUACCGUUUGAUCAUCAAUCUUUAGGGUUUUAACCUAAUUCCAAAACUUUUCUAAAUCAAUCCUAACUUUGUCAAUUAAUCAUCAGAAUUACAACAAUCAAUGCUAUUGAAUUACUAGUCUCACCCUUACCUUGAAUGAAGAAAAUCGCAGCACUCUACCUUGAUUCCUCUAGACUUGGCUUUUCUCCCUUCUUCCAAAAGUUUUCACGUACAAUGAGUUUCUAAAAUAUUAGGUCUUCUCCUAUUUAUAUCUUUUUCUAAUUACUUAUCUUAUCUCACUUUCUCCCCCAAAACUAUCUAAAAUAUCAAAACAGCCCUCAACUAAAUAUUUUAUAUUAUUUUCAAAUCUUUAUUUUAUUUAACAAUAAAAUAAAUUCUCUAAUCUUAUCAAAUCCUCCAAAACUCAUAACUUAUCACGUCAUCAAUCAAAUCAUCAAAAUCACCACAAAUCAUCAAAACAUAUCAAAAUCAUGCAUAUGUUAUAUAAUUAUAAUAUAAUUGCCUAAACUCGAUUAAAUAACGAUUAAACGAAAGUGGGCGUUACACUUUCCACAUCUGCUUCUCGUGACUCUCCAUGGCUAGAUGCUCCUGAUACAUCUCCUGAGUCGCGGGAGGUAGAGGUAAAGGUAUAGAUGGAGCAGAUGCAGAUACAUAUCUCAUAGCAGGGUAAGGCAUACCAAUCUUCUCGGCCCGAUCUAUCACCCACUAGGUAUAGGCCUCAUGAGCAAUCCCAGAUCUCACACCCAAAUGAUUCACACUCUUCCUACGAACUUUGGACCAAGCAUCCACGAAAGCCGACCUUUGUCCGGUGGGGGCAUUUGAAUAGUAGAAGAACUCCGGAGAUGUAGCAAGAUUGAUGGGCUUUGCCUUCAUCGGGAAACCAAAUUGUCUCAUAGCAAGUUCAGGAUUGUAGUUGAUUCCUCCACGGGUACCAAGGAGAGGUACGUUGAGGAAAUCCCGACAACCAGUAAUGAUCUCCUCAGCCUGAGCGGCGGGAGUAAGCCAGAUCACCUCAUUAGGAGUGAGAGCCAUAAUCCGCUGUGAGUAAGACCAAUUCUCCGGGUUGGUAUGGAAAAAGCUCGGAAGGUGAGAAAUAAACCACCUAUAUAGGAGAGGCACACAGCAAAGGAUAUAUCCACGACCUUUGAGAGUCCGAUCAUGGAUAGCAUGGUAUGUGUCAGCUAGCAAAGUAGGAACCGGAUUCUUGGAAUGGAAGAUCUCAAUAGCGUUCAUAUCCACGAAGUUGUCAAGAUUUGGAAAGAGAACGAGCCCAUAGAUAAGUAAUGCAAGAAUAGCUUCACGAGUGUCUUGACAAGUAGUGUCGAGAUUAGCCUUCUCUAGUAGAUACUUUGAAGUGAACCCUCGGAUGUGAGAUUUGGUGACGAGAUAGUUGGAGACAUCGGAAGUCUUGAGAUAAAGAUCCUUAGCGAUAACCAAAGGAGUAAGAGAAGACCUGGGACCGGUGAAGGGCGUCCUCUCGGCUAUAGGUAAACCCACCAAAUCGGAAUAAGCCUCGAGAGUAGGAACCAACUGAAAGUCCGGGAAAGUGAAGCAACGGAAGUCCGGGUCAUAGAAUUGCACCAGAGUGUGUACCAACUUCUCUUCAACAUUGGUCCGGAGAAUGCUAAGCAAACCACCAUAUCGGAGUCGGAAACCGGUUGGACUUUUAACCUUGAGUGCCGACUCCCUUAAGCUAACCAAAUCCACUUCCUUGAAUUUGUAGGACUUAGUCUUCUUCAUACCUGCGAUUAUUUACAAAAUUUUAAUUUGUUUAAACCCUUCGACGAAUGCAUGGAAAAGUUUUAUGCAUGAAUGCAUGUAUGCAUGAUUGUUUUUUAGUUACAGAGAAAACAUGGUGGGUUGAGUUUCAAGGUCGAGGAGCCACGGGUGGGCACGGCGUCCGGUGAAACUAGGGCUUAGGAUAGUAGUAACCAAGGUUCUAAUGAAGUUCCCAAACUGCAACCUCUCCUACGCAUAUCAUGGUAGCACGGGACAACGUCCGUUCCAUGUUUAUUCGCAAGAAGGUCUAGUUUGAGUGUAGUAUCGCGUGACGACUAAAACUCGAGACAACACUCGGUUUAGCGACCGCACUACGCCCUAAAAAGGCCAAGGAUGGGUUUGGUAGCUAUGGUCCAUAGCAUCGUCGAACAAUUGAAAGCAAAGUGCCUAAGCAUGACAACACACGCCGAAAACAUCACCUCCAAAAUGCCUCAGCUAUGUGAGAUUGAUCGCAUAACCCAAUACACGAGGCAACCCCCGGAUUGAAUUGUCGAUUAUAUCUCUACCUAUUCUUAAGUUCACUCAGCCCGGGUGUAGGACUUUUGAUAUUCUCACCCCACACGUUACACGAAAAUAAGCAAAUAUUCACAUAUGUAAGCAAUAAAAUAAAGCGUAAACAUAAACUACGGAAAACUAGGUGUGACCCGCUUAAAAUAUCCCCAGUGAAGUCGCCAUUCUGUUAUAUGGAUUUUGGGGUGUCAAGUCAUUAAUUAGACUUGAACCUUUCAAUCUUUGAUAUUCUCUAUUUUUUCUUGGGAAGGGGAAAAUUGAGAAAACCCUUUGAAACUCUAAGUUCGGGGGUCGUUUUCGUUACGAGAAGGUGUUAAGCAUCCGGAACGACUAUAGUAGCUUGAAAUAAGAUAAAAAGGUAAACUCAAGCGUCCGUUGGUGGACUGGUGACUUGAAACAAAAUAAAAAAGUAAACUUAAGUGCCCGUUGGUGGAUUUAGUGACUUGAAACAAGGUAAAAAGUAAACUCAAGCGCCCGUUGGUGGACUUGGUGACUUGAAACAAGGUAAAAAGUAAACUCAAGCGCCCGUUGGUGGACUUGGUGACUUGAAACAAGAUAAAACGUAAACUCAAGCGCCCGUUGGUGGACUUGGUGACUUGAAACAAGAUAAAAGGUAAACUCAAGCGUCCGUUGGUGGACUAGGUGACUUGAAACAAGAUAAAAGUUAAACUCAAGCGCUCGUUGGUGGACUUGGUGACUUGAAACAAAAUAAAAAAUAAACUCAAGCGCCCGUUGGUGGACUUGGUGACUUGAAAUUGAAAUUGACUAGUGACAUUAGUGGCACAACUUUCGCUGGGGAUGACACUAUUGGAUUUUAAAUUGAAAAUUGAUUAGUGCCAUGGCUAGCACGACUUUACGCCGGGUAUGACACUUUUGGAAAUGAAAUUGAAAAUUGACUAGUGACAUGACUAGCCAGGCUUCACGCCGGGGAUGACACUUUUGAAAUUGAAAUUGAAAUUGAUUAGUGACAUGACUAGCACGGCUUCACGCCGGGGAUGACACUUUGAUGAUAAGAAGGUAAAUGGAAAACGCUUAUUUGUAGAAACUUGCAGCUUGACACAAUGGUAAGUUAAGACUGAACCGAAGAGACACGACCGAAUCGAGAUUCUGGACGACUAAUGCAAUUAUGUAUGAUUUGAUGUUGUGCAUAUGUUAUGUACGUAUAAACGUACGAAUAUGUGAAGAUAUUGAUGAAUGCAUGAUUGUAUGAAUGUAUGGAUGUGUGAAUGUAUGACUGUGUGAAUGUAUGUGACCUGUGACUCGAUGAACCGAGACAAGACAAGUAAGAUGGGAGGCGGACUGUAACAACCCGAUUUUUAGCUAGAUUUAAUUUAAUUACUUUUAAUUGUCUUUGUGUGUGAUUAAUUGUGCUUGUGUGUAUUUAAUUGUCGUCGGGUGCAUUUACGUGGAUUACCGUAUUAGAAGGGUAUUUUAGUCAUUUGACGGGUAAGGGUAAAAUGGUAAUUUUGGUGAGAAUCAUUUUAAUAUUUAGUGAGAACCCUUAUUUUACUAAGUUACUAGUGUAGUGAUUAGUUUUUACCGUUAGUGACCGUUCGUUAUAUUUUACCGUUGUUAGUAAUUACCGUUGAGUGUAUAUAAACUUUUUGGAAUUAUGUUAGAAUGAGUUAAGCCCAUUAGAAUUUGGAAUUGAGCCCAUUAAGGGAGAUAACAUUAGGGUUGUCAUAGGAAAAUAUCUUUCAUUCACUUCACAAAACAUUUUCCUAGAGAGAGAGGGAGGUAGAGAGAGAAAGAGGUGAAGAGAAGAACAAGAGUGUUGAAGGGAAAGCUUGGGGAAUCAAUUUGGGUGACCUAGGAGCUGAAUUGAAGCAAGGGUUAGAGAUAAUCAACUUCAAAGGUAAGGGGGUUAGUUAUCAUCAUAAUCAUGUACAAUCUUUGCAUUUUCUCAUGUUGUAUGAAAAUGUGUUGGUGAACAAUUGUUGUUAAAUUCGUGCUCUUGCUGUGAUGCUAUUUUCUUGUGCUUGAAUUGAUGAUUAUGGUAUGUUUAUAGGUGAAAUUACAUGUUUCAAAGUAUGUAUAAAUGUUAAGUUAUGAAAUUAUGCUUAAUUGAUGAAAUUUGAUAUGUUUUGAUUGAAAAGAGAUGUGAUUCAUAUUCCAUUAAUGUGGUUAUUGUUAACUGAUGCUAUUGUAAGUGAAUUAUGAUUUGGGUAUACUUAAUUGUGGAUUGAUGAUGAGAAAUAAAUUGUUGUUGGUGGUUUUGUGAAAUUGGUGAAGUUGAGUUAAGUGUUCAUGNGGUACCGAGACCUNGAANUUGGUAUUCACUUNNNNNNNNNNNNNNNNNNNNNNNNNNNNNNNNNNNNNNNNNNNNNNNNNNNNNNNNNNNNNNNNNNNNNNNNNNNNNNNNNNNNNNNNNNNNNNNNNNNNUGGGCCAGAAGGAUCGCUUCAGGAAGCAUAAGUUCAGAAAGCAUGCCAGAAGCUUCUCAAGGAAGCGAAAUUGCCAGUUCCAGCAUCCCCUGUUUCGCGUUCUUGCAUCUUUUUCACCUAUGUCUAUUUCGAAUUGGCCUUUGGUUUAAACAUGAAAGUUUUAGAUAAUUAUGUUAGCUUUCUAAUGGCUUUGGUUUGACGUCCAAAUGAUAUUAAGAACUUGAGUUAUGAUCAAAUUACUACACAUGGGUCAUGUGAAUUUUUGUGAAAACUUAUCAUAACUUUUUCUUUGAGCCGUGGAACUUUUCCAAACUUGAAUUUGGGUUUAAUGAGGUACUUAGAGUGAAUAAUUGAGUAUGCAUGUAUAUUUUUGAGGUAUCAUGACUAUCGUGAGAAACGUAUGCUAAUUGCUUGGAAUAUAAGAAUUCUUGAAUUGGUAAAAUCAAACGUGAUGAGUGAUGUUUGUUGAUUAUUGAAAAUCAUGUAAUUGAUGUUGGAUGACAUUGUUGAUUAUUGGUAAAUAUGUUGAUGUGUGAUGAUGAAUACUAUGAUUUAUUUGUGUGGGCAUGUUUUCUUGAUAAUGCAAUGUUGUGGAGAUAAUCAAUAUAAUUGGGUGUUGUCCUAUAUAUUGAGUUGAGAUUGUGAAUUGUUGUCGCAUUAUCGAGUCCUUAUACAUGUCCAUGCAUCAUAGUCGUUGUUUCUGUAAAAGAGUUGAACUCUUUUACUUCGAGAUUAUUGUAAGGCAGGUGUGAGCCCUUACAUUCGAUGUGCAAGUGGCAUCGAAAGGUGACGACCUUGUUGAGAUUUGGUACCACAUGCAUUUAUGUGUCCAUAAGUGCAUAUCAUAGCAUGAGUCCUAUGUGAAUUGUGUGAUUGGUGAUGAUUUGAGAUGAAUGAAUGUUGAUAAUGAUUGUCUAUGAUUGAUGUUGUGAAUGAAUAUUUAUGAUUGGAUAAUCAUUCAUGUGAUUGAUAUAUGUGGAUACGAGCUAUCAAGUUGUGGUAUAAGUAUUUAUGCAUGACUAAUAUUAUUCAAGUACAUGAUAUUAUUUGAUUUGAUUAUUAUCUGGAUUAUGAUAAUGUAAUGCUUACCCCCAGUGGUUUUAACCGCCUACUUGCCUGUAUGGGUGAGUAGACGUUGUGCAGGAGUAGUCUUGGUGAGUCUUUGCGUGGGAUAUCGGGAGCUUCCUCCGAUAUCGGUGUUGUGUCGGCUCUGAUCUAGGCUUGUCGUGUCGGUCUAGAUUAGGUUGUUAUAUUUUUCCUUUGAAUUAUUAUUUUGUUGAUGACUACCCGUAUGUUUGGGUUUUGAGAUUUAUCUUUGGGAUAUGAUUUAUUUGCUCAUGGCAUGUAUAUAUUUGAUCACUCUGAUUUGUAUUCCGCUGUAACUGUUGAGGUUUACAUACAUGUCUAUCGGUUUUUGAAUUUUGAAUAAGACGUAAUCUCUAUUUCUUGAAUAAAUGUAUUAUUCGCAUGUUUAAUUGCUUUAAUAGAAAUAGGAGCGUUACACGGACUGACAUCACAGUACAAACACUCGGCAAACUUCCUUGGAGAUGAUACUAUUGUGGACUAGUCGAGCCGUUGACGGUGUAAGAACCUGGCACAAGGUAGCAACUGAUGCCUCCUGGGGAUAAAGCCCAUUGUUGACCAAAAGUCUGGAAGAAGUCGCCAUUUGUAAGACGACGCAGGGUGUUCUUCCCCUGGCAUGCUUCAACAGCCAUGUUUUCUUUCUUUUUUGAAAUCCCUAACUUUUGCCUGGAUCGCCCUUUCGGGUUUUCAAUCCACCGGGAAAUAUAUUCCUUUUUUGUGCCCCUAAUUUUUGCCUGGACCGCCCUUUCGGGUUUUUAGUCCACCGGGACGCUCUCUAUUGCCUAAGCUGCCUUUUCAGGUUUUCAACUUAGCGAGCCUUGAUUUUUUGUAUUUUUUUUCUUUUGUAUUUUUGGACUGUGACAGCAUCUUGCUCAAGGCAGAGUUCCUUUCCAUAAUGCUUAGCCCUGUUUCUAUUCCGGAGUGUAACUGUUCUCGAGGCGAAUGUUGAUGUACGCUUCACCUACUCAUGAGUUCAAAGAGAGUGUGUUUGUUGUUCACACUUUUCAAAAGAUGUAAAAAAAAGUUUUGUAUUUUGAAAAUUUUUGCUUUAAGUAUUGUCAUAAAAAAUAGAAGAAAUUUAUGCAAAUAGAAUAAAUGAGAGUUCCAAAUAAAUGGACACAGGCUCAAAUUUUAUUAAUUGAGCGGUGGCCUGCCAAGGGCAUGGCUCCACGGAUUUUUUUUGAAAAUUUUGGAAAAUGGUAAAUAUAGUGGGAAGGGUACAUUGAACACAACAACCGAUAUUCUCCCUACCGAGUUUGAAUGCCCCUGUUCUGGGUCUUUGAUUUGUAGAUGCUUGGAGUCGGAAGUCCUUUGAUAGUUGGAUGCCCUAAGUGGAUGGUGCCUGACUGAUGCAGUUACUUUGUCUUUUGAUCCUUAACUUUUGCAUAGAUCGCCCUUUCGGGUUUUCAAUCUAUCAGGAUAGUCAUUUUUGUUCAUGUCUCUAAUUUUUGCCUGGACCGCCCUUUUUGGGUUUUCAGUCCACCGAGACGCUCAUUUUUGCCUAAGCCGCCUUUUCAGGUCUACGACUUAUCGAGCUUUCAUUUUUUGACAAAGUAUUUCUUGACUGCAUUGGCAUUCAUAGGAGGUGUGAGUUUGUCACCAUUUGUAGGCACAAGAGUCAGUGCACAUGGGCCUUCCUAGUUAGGCAUCCACUUGCCCCUGGAGUGUGGUUAGAAAGAUAGUAUCUUUUUGGGCACAAAGUCUCCUUCUUGAAAUUCAUGAGGACGAACCUUCUUGUUGGAAGUUUGUUUCAACCUCUUUUGACAUGGUUGUACAAGGGUGUCAUGUAUUUUAAGUCCAAUCAAGCUUGGGCUUUGGUAUAACUUCUAUUGUCGGGACUUCGACUUCCACGGGAAGCACAACCUUCAUAUUGUAUGCUGAGGGAUGGAGGGGGGGUUUGCCCCUGUUGAAAUGUGCAUUGAAGUACUACACUCAUGAAGUGCGGAUGGUAGCAUCUUGUGCCAGUCUUUGCAAAUGAAAGCCAUCUUUUGGACAAUCUUCUUUGAUAUUUCGUUUGCAGCUUUGACUGCUAAGAUUCCCCAGUAUGUGAGAGAUCUCAUCGGGAGUCCCUUCAUUUUCCUCCUCUUCAUCUUCAGACAUAGAGAACUCAAAGUUGGAAGAGAGUACAUGGUUAUUGUGUUCAACGGGUUUAUUAUUGCAUGAUUUGGUUAUUGAUUUUGACGAGUAAAUGAAAGUUAAGAUUAUGCACAUAUUUGAAAAUGAUUAUUAUUAUUUUUUUGGUUUUUUGUAUUUACCAUUUUUCUAGAAAGAGCACAAAAUAAAAAGCAAAGUCGGGAUCGAAGCGACUUUUUAUUAAUGAUGGAAGAUACACGAAGCAAAAAGUCCUAAAUGAGUUCACUUUCGUCUCGGGAGGAUAGUAGAAAUAAACAUCAGCAAAAGGCCCAAUUGCAGCUAAAAUAUUUCAUGUGUCAACCUUAGAUACCAAGAUGAUCCAUUCUGAUUUGCUCGAGCGUUGUAGAUGCGAGUAGAUGAUGAGUCAUUUAUUGCUUACUUUUAUAUGCUUUUUAGUUUAGUUUUAUUUAGAUUUGAUUUUAUUUUAUGUUAGUAUUAUUUCCUUUUUAGGAUAGUUUACUUUAAAUUGCAUUUUAUUUUAUUUCAGGAAUGAAUAUUGGAUGGAUUGAGUCUUGGAGAAAAAGAAAGGGACUUGGAGCCGAUUGGAUGCAAAAAUAUGAAGAUUGAGAGACAAAAAUAUGUCUCCCCCAUGCCAGAAGCUUGGGACGGCCCGUGCUAACCUUGGCACGGCCGUGCCACCCUCCAGUGUCACUUUUGCUGCUUUUGCUUAGAUUUUAAGCUACUCUAUUUUUAGCCCGAAUGUAAUAGCUUAGAUUUUAAGUCGAACAAAUGCUAUAAAUAGAGUUGCCAUCCAUCACAAAUAUUCAUCUUUACUUGGAAUUCAAUAAGUGACAAUUGCUUUUCUAAUUAAAGUUCUUUUCCUUUCCUUUAUUUUCUUGUCAUUUACUUUUAUGCUUUCUCUCUGCUCCCCCAUGUCUACGAUGAACAUGAGUGAGUAGAAUUCUCCUUGUCUUGGGAUUGUUGGAUAAGUCUAAAUGACAUAGUCCUAAUCAAACCAAGCUCUAAGCCUUAAUCUUAUGUAACCCUAAUUUCUUAUCUGAAUUCGCCGCUUUAACAUGGAUCAACCAUUAUCAAACUGUGGAAACGAAAGUGGAGGGUUUGAUAAUUGUUUAUCCAUUAUUCCAAAUAUCAAUUCAUAAAACGAAAGUGGAGCUUUGAUAUUUGAACAAGUGAAUUCAGACAAGGAUUGCAAAGUCAGCGAAAUAGGCUUUGCAAUCUUUGAGACAUAUAGUUUCGAUCUUCAAGGGAACUAAUAACAAUCAAGUCAGCGAAAUAGGCUUGGUUGUUAGAGGAACCAAAAUCUAAUAGUAAUCAAGUCAGCGAAAUAGGCUUGGUUGCUAGAGGAACAUAAGAGAAACUGUCUUGAGAAAUUAGGUCUAACAUAACAUUAUAAGCUUAUAGUUUUGGUUUGAGAAGGACUUGUUAUUUAGAUGAAACCAACGAUCCCAAGGCCCUUUUUAUUAUAUUAAUUUCCAACCGUUUGAAAACCCCUAACUUACAAUUCUCUUCUCUUCUAAUCAUCUCUAAAGGUUAAUUGAAUUAAACUACUCCCUGUCGGAAUGAUAUUCUUCUAAUACUACUUCGGUAAGACCGUGCACUUGCGGUUUUAUCUCAUCAAGUUUUUGGCGCUGUUGCCGGGGAGUAAACUAAUUUGAUUAACUCUUUGUUUGUGAUUAGAACUCUCUUCUCUUCCUCUUUUCUUCUACUUCUUUCUUUUGUAUUACCACUAACUUCUUGGGUUCUCGGUUUCUUAUGCGAAGAAGUAAAAGUCUCGGAGAAUUUAUUCCUGAGAUCGAAAGGUUUUUGCAUAAGAAAAAGAGGGAGGCACAAAAUAAUACUGCUAUGGCUGAACGCACUCUCAAAGAGUAUGCUACUCCUUCAACGGAAGAGCCACAAGCUAUUAUCGUGUACCCAACAGUUGCGGGUAAUAACUUCGAAAUCAAGCCUGCACUACUCAAUUUGGUGCAGCAAAAUCAGUUUUCUGGAUCACCCACUGAGGAUCCACAUCUCCAUAUUUCUUCCUUCCUUAGACUCAGUGGCACCAUAAAAGAGAACCAAGAAGCCGUAAGACUUCAUCUCUUUCCCUUUUCCUUAAGGGAUAGAGCUAGCGCUUGGUUCCAUUCCCUAGAAGUCGGUUCCAUCACUUCAUGGGACGAUAAGAGGCGAGCAUUCCUUGCCCGAUUUUUCCCCCCAUCUAAAACCGCUAAACUUAGAGAUCAAAUUACUCGUUUCAAUCAAAAAGAUGGGGAAUCUCUCUAUGAGGCGUGGGAGCGUUUCAAGGAAAUGCUUAGACUUUGUCCCCACCACGGCCUAGAGAAGUGGCUUAUAGUCCACACGUUUUAUAAUGGCUUGUCAUAUACCACUAAGAUGUCUGUUGAUGCAGCUGCAGGUGGAGCUCUAAUGAACAAAAACUAUACGGAGGCUUAUGCUUUGAUUGAGGACAUGGCUCAAAAUCACUACCAAUGGACCAACGAGAGAGCCGUCACCACUCCUACUCCCUCUAAGAAAGAGGCAGGUAUAUACAAAGUCUCUGAAUAUAAUCACCUUGCUGCUAAGGUUGAGGCAUUAACCCAAAAAUUUGAAAAACUUAACGUUAAUGUUGUCACACCUUCUUCUGCAUCCCCUCCUUGUGAAGUCUGUGGUAUAUCCGGUCAUAUAGGUGUUGAUUGUCAGUUAAGUAGUGCUGCCAAUAUUGAGCAACUGAAUUACGCUCAAUACAACCAAGGAAUGAGGCCAAAUCAAAAAUUUUACAAAAAUCCUCAAGGUUCCUAUGGACAAGUAGCACCACCUGGCUAUACAAACAACCAGAGAGUGGCUCAGAAAUCAAGUUUGGAGAUUUUAUUGGAAAAUUGCAUUGCUAAUCAAAAUAAAAAUCUUCAAGAAUUGAAAAACCAAACAGGAUUUCUGAACGACUCUCUCUCCAAACUCAAUACCAAGGUUGAUUCUAUCGCCACACACACAAAAAUGCUUGAGACCCAAAUCACCCAAGUGGCCACCUCUUCUCAAACACCAGGAGUCUUUCCUGGUCAACCUGAAACAAACCCCAAAGCCCAUGUCAACGCUAUUUUUCUUGGGGGUAGUAAGCUAGAAGAGACCGUUACUAAAGCCAAAAGUGUCAAGAGGGAGAGUGUUAGGUGUCUAGGUAAGAAAGGUGUGAUAAAAAGUGAAAAAUCGCUUGACAAGAACAAAGCCCUUACACCAUUAAGGCUUACUAAGCUCAACUUCGAGGCUCAAUUCACUAAAUUCUUAAACAUAAUUCAAAAGAUUUGCAUUAAGAUCCCCUAUGCUGAAGCUUUGUCUCGUAUGCCCCUAUACGCCAAGUUUUUAAAAGAAAUUUUUUCAAAGAAAAAGGCUAUAGAUCAUAAUGAAACAAUAGCUUUGACAAGGGAAAAUAAUGCAAUCAUCAAGAAGCCACCUACAAAGCUUAGAGAUCUAGGAAGUUUUGCCAUCCCUUGUAUGAUAGGGAAUGAAACCUUAAACCGAGCCUUAUGCGAUUUAGGAGCAAGUGUUAGUCUGACGCCCUUACCCCUCUUUACAAGGCUAGGGUUGGGCGAGUUAAAGCCUACCGAAACAACAUUGAAGUUAGCCGAUCGUUCUGAUAUCCAACCUGUCGGAUAUGUCGAGGACAUCCCCGUUAAAAUAGAAGGGAUAGACAUCCCAACUGAUUUCAUGGUGCUUGACAUAGAUGAGGACAAUGCGUGCUCUAUAAUCUUAGGACGACCCUUUCUCGCCACUGCGGGUGUUAUAGUAGAUGUUCAAAAUGGUAGGAUUGUUUUUCAAGUGAGUGAUGAGUUGAUAGGAUUUGAGUUGGAGAAUUAUAUGAAAGGUCCCGCCCUCUAUUCUUGUAAUGUGAUUAAAGGUCAUGAUGUGCAAGAACGCUCAUUAGCGCAAUCUACACAAUAUGACCUCUUUGAUCCUUUCUAAUGGACACUUUCCUAUAACGUCAAGCUAAUGACUAUAAAGAAGCGCUUCGUGGGAGGCAACCCACGCAUUUAACUGCUUUUGUUUUGUUUUGUUGUUUUGUUUUUAAUUGUUUUAUAGGUAAUUGUCCGAGUAUGAUUCGAGAAAAGGGAAAAUUUUGAAGCCCCGAUAUCCAGAACCUUGGCACGGCCCGUGCUCACACUGGCACGGCCGUGCCAGACCUCACCUUCCAAAAACCAUCCAAAAACUCCAGAAUGUUGGCACGGCCCGUGCUAAGGUUGGCACGGCCGUGCCCGACUACAGGUAAGGAUAUACCUCACCUUUCAUCUUCUUCUUCCUUCAUUCUCCACCACAAACAUUCAAACUUCUCUCAAAAACCUCCAUAACCAUAGAAAUUUCACAGCUCCAUAUCUCCCUCAAAACUUCACCAAUUAACAAAAUUUCUUCACCCAAUCAACCACAAUCCACAUUCCAAUCAUAACCCUUCACUCAAAAACAACUUUCCUCCAUCCCUACCAAAAAUCAUCAAAUUCGUAGCCCCCAUUCACCUACCCAAAAUUCUUCACCAAUUCACCCAACCCAACUCCUAACACUCACUCAAACACCAACCCUUCACCCAACCAACCUUUUCCACCAAAACCACUUCCCAAAACCCAACCUUCACCCAAAACACAAAAGGUCAACCAAGGUUACGGAUAAUGGCAUCUAGGAAAGGUGGAGCAAGCUCUUCCGGAGGACCACAAUCAAAGAAGAAAGCGCAAGCCAAGAAUCAUGGCAUAGUCUUCAAGGACACCAAGCAAAGGGACAGGUAUAAAAUUCUUAUCUCUAAACCUUUGCACCCUUGUCGUUAUCCUGAUCCUUAUACUUUGAGCGUGCUAGGACUAAGGGAUAAUGUGUUUAGCUUACUAGGAAAUUUAGGAUGGGUUAAUAUGCUUAGACCUAUGAAAGGUUUUGAAAAUUUCACUUAUGAAUUCUUAAGUUCUAUUGAAUUUACGAAGGAUAAAGUGAACUUUGAUAACCCCGACCAUAGAGUCUCCUUCCGACUUUUGAAUGUGGAUUACGAGAUGUCUCUUGAAAUUUUUUGUUUAGAAAUGGACUUCGCAAAUGCGGGGUUCAUCCAUGACUCUUGGAAUCCAAAUCUUAAGUCGGAAGACUAUAACCCCGCUCUCUUUUGGAAACGCAUUACCGGGUUAAGGCAUUAUAAUCCUCACAACAAUAAGGCUAGUAACAUUCACAACCCAGUGCUUAGAUACCUCCAGAGAGUCAUGGCUUGUACCAUUUGGGGUAGAAAAGAGGUAGGAACAACUAGGACGGAUGAACUUUUUAUGCUUUGGGCAAUGCUUAGUAACAAUCCCGUUAAUACUUGUUUCAACCUACUUGAUUACCUUUCCUCCAUAGGUGCUAAACCGGAUAAUAGAGCUGAGAUAGUAGUCGGUGGUAUCAUUACCUUCAUAGCUAGGAAGUUUGGAGUGGGUGAGGAAGAUGGGAUAAAUCCAAUUGAGGGUAACAAUAGGCUUAAUAUUGAAACUUUUGUUGCUAUGAAUUUCAUUAAGAUUCACCCACCCAUAACUUAUGCACUUCAGCUUCGCAUACCUCUUUUGUUUCUCCUUCCUAACCCAUCUCGGACUAACCCCGAGGUGGAGGAGAAUUUGUUGUAUGUUGGUGAUGGAUUACAGGUACAUGAAGAGCAUAAUCAAGGUGACGAAGACGGUGCACACAUGCACCAUGAAGAGGAACCCCAUGACCAUAACGACGACAAUGAAAGAUGGGCAUGGAUGCAAAUCGAGGUACAAAGGAUAAGCACUGAGCAACAAAGGCAAGGUGUUGAAUUAUCCGGGCUAAGAAAUGAUGUCCUAAGGGGCAACCGCAUAUCCGAAGAAAAUAACCAAAUGCUUCGGAACAUGAUGCAACACUUCAACCUCCAAGGUCCUCCCUAUGGACCUCAAUAAAAAUGUGAGCUUUCCUCUUCCUCUUUUUCACCUUAUCUCUUCAAUUUCUAUCUCAUUCUCCUCCCUCCUCUUUUUCCUCUAUCUUGAAUCAUUGAGGACAAUGCUUCCUCAAUGACAUCGGGAGAUAGAAGGGAUGGAAAGAGUAGUAUGAAAAGAGUAUCGUUCCGCAAGUGCAUGGUCUUACCGAAGUAGUAUGAAAAGAGUAUCGUUCUGACAGGGAGUAGUUUAAUUUAAUUAACCUUUGAAAAUGAUUAGAGGAGAAAAGAAUUGCAAGUUGGGGUUUUCAAACGGUUGAAAAUUAAUAUAAUAAAAAGAGCCUUGGGAUCGUUGGUUUCAUCUAAAUAACAAGUCCUUCUCAAAUCAAAACCAUAAGCUUAUAAUGUUAUGUUAGACCUAAUUUCUUAAGACAGUUUCUCUUAUGUUCCUCUAGCAACCAAGCCUAUUUCGCUGACUUGAUUACUAUUAGAUUUUGGUUCCUCUAACAACCAAGCCUAUUUCGCUGACUUGAUUGUUAUUAGUUCCCUUGAAGAUCGAAACUAUAUGUCUCAAAGAUUGCAAAGCCUAUUUCGCUGACUUUGCAAUCCUUGUCUGAAUUCACUUGUUCGAAUAUCAAAACUCCACUUUCGUUUUAUGAAUUGAUAUUUGGAAUAAUGGAUAAACAAUUAUCAAACCCUCCACUUUCGUUUCCACAGUUUGAUAAUGGUUGAUCCAUGAUAAAACGGUGAAUUUAGAUAAGAAAUUAGGGUUACAUAAGAUUAAGGCUUAGAGCUUGGUUUGAUUAGGAUCAUGUCAUUUAGACUUAUCCAACAAUCCCAAGACAAGGAGAAGUCUACUCACUCAUGUUCAUCGUAGACAUGGGUAAGAAGAGAGAAAGCAUAGAGGUAAAUGACAAGAAAAUAAAGGAAAAGAAAAGAACUUUAAUUAGAAAAGCAAUUGUCACUUAUUGAAUUCCAAGUAAAGAUGAAUAUUUGUGAUGGAUGGCUACUCUAUUUAUAGCAUUUGUUCGACUUAAAAUCUAAGCUAUUACAUUCAGGCUAAAAAUAGAGUAGCUUAAAAUCUAUGCAAAAGCAGCAAAAGUGACUCUGGAGGGUGGCACGGCCGUGCCAAGGUUAGCACGGGCCGUGCCAAGCUUCUGACAUGGGGGAGACAUAUUUUUGUCUCUCAAUCUUCAUAUUUUUGCAUCCAAUCGGCUCCAAGUCCCUUUCUUUUGCUCCAAGACUCAAUCCAUCCAAUAUUCAUUCCUGAAAUAAAAUAAAAUGCAAUUUAAAGUAAACUAUCCUAAAAAGGAAAUAAUACUAACAUAAAAUAAAAUAAAAUCUAAAUAAAACUAAACUAAAAAGCAUAUCAAAAUAGUCAAUAAAUGACUCAUCAAACUCCCCCACACUUGAAUCUUUGCUUGUCCUCAAGCAAAAGACAUAGACAUGGCAGCAACAAAAGGAUUAAUAUAUGUCACUUUAAAUAAAAACUUAUGUCUGCCUCGAGGUUUCAUUUCAACGUACACUAAUCACAACUUCAAGUAUUCUUUGUAAACUUAUUCAACCCAACAACAAAUCUUAAGUGAGUGUAUGUGUGUGUAGUCCAACCCUUUUCUUGCUCCUGUAUAAGAUAGAUAUUAUGAGGAACAGGUUCUAACCUUAACACUAAAAUGACCGAGAAAAGUCUUUCCUUCAUUUCAUAUAAGAGAAGUGGGAGAGUUAAGAUAGACUUGAUGAAUUUAUACAUUUGGGGGCUUGUAGAUGCCUAGGGGUUAUCAUUUCACAUUGGAAGUCCGUGAGGGGGUAUCCUUUCCUCCAAGUUUCUAUGAUCACCCUAAGUAGUGCUACAACUUGUUUACUUCACUUAGGAAGCUCCUCUUUUUAGAGGGUUUAAUUCAAGCACAAUUUAUUUGAGAAGUCAUCACCACAUUUAGGAAGUCAGUGAGAGGGUAUCCUUUCCUCCACAUGUGGUGAUAUCCUUCCGCCCCAUUUCGGUUUACACAUUUCAUCACUUUAGAAUUAUUCCCACACAAACUUAUACUACUUUUACUCUGAAGAUUUUUAAGGGUUCAGGUUACCAUUAAAGCUAGAACGUGUUCCUUAAAAUACCUACUCAUACACUUACUCAAGGAUUGCAACUAGGUGCUUUUCUCAUUGGAGAAUUAAUUUCACAAUAAAACUUGAUGUGGGUAUAGCAAGAAUACUUAUAACACAAGAAAUCACUUUCAUGUACAAGAAACGACCAUUGAAGAGACAACAAAAAAUUUAUGUCAUAAUAAAACAAUAAAAACGAGCUGCUUAUUUAUUCCUUUUACGAUAAAACACAAUAAAAGAAUAAAGUUCAAGGGAGUUUGGAAACACUACGACCAAAGACACUUUAUUAGGCUCCCCCCACACUUAGGAGAAGCAUUGUCCUCAAUGAUUCAAGAUAGAAGAAAAAGAAGAAGGAGGAGAACGAGAUAGAGAUUGAAGAGAUAAGGUGAAAACGAGGAAGAGGAAAGCUCACAUUUUUAUUGAGGUCCAUAGGGAGGACCUUGGAGGUUGAAGUGUUGCAUCAUGUUCCGAAGCAUUUGGUUAUUUUCUUCGGAUAUGCGGUUGCCCCUUAGGACAUCAUUUCUUAGCCCGGAUAAUUCAACACCUUGCCUUUGUUGCUCGGUGCUUAUCCUUUGUACCUCGGUUUGCAUCCAUGCCCAUCUUUCAUUGUCGGCGUUAUGGUCAUAGGGCUCCUCUUCAUGGUGCAUGUGUGCACCUUCUUCGUCACCUUGAUUAUGCUCUUCAUGUACCUGUAAUCCA